AACUAUUUAUUUAUUGACUGAUUGUCUUGCAUAAAUUUAGACAUCGAUGCAACGGUGUCCAGAUACUAUCACUACACUGUAUAGUCAGAUUUGCUUUCUGUAGAGUGCACCUAGAGCUGCAGCCUGGACCUGCCGGCAGCCGGCAGGGUUGGCCUCAGCGAUGAGGUGGUACAAUGCGAUGGCUAGCUCUUGUGCAUCUGUUGCCCGUAUAGAUGAUCUCCGUGUUGUUCAUAAGAAAGAAAUGCUGUACAAUUAACAGGAAAAGGACAUAACUUUCAUGGGAAAAAACCUACUCCCUGAAUAGGGCAGCUACCUGUAAAGGAAAGGAAAAGAAAGGCAAAACAAAGAAGAGAAGCAUCAGUUAAAAUAAAGUUCAAUAUGUCUAUUUUCUACUUGGAUUUCAUCAUUUGCAAUUACAUCCCUUGAUUUAAAAUCAACAUUUUUAGAAGUGCGGAACUGGGAUAAAAUGCAUUGUCCUGAAUGUAACAUAACGUAGAGAUUAUGUUUCCUUUUGCAGGCAUGCAUGUAUGUAGACAUGGAUGACAAAAAAGACGUUUCUUCUUUCGAUGAAGAAGAAUCACAGAUCUCCGACUGGAGCUUAAGUUCAGAAUUACUGUUGACCCCAGCCAGUUAAAACCUAUACAUGCAUAUCAACUCCUCACUUGACGGAGCCAAGGCAGGCCGACGGGUACCUCAUGGGAUGUGGGGCCUGUAUGUUUAUGUCCCUACAUCUUAUAUUUGGAUAAAAUUAUUACUGAAUAAAAUAGCAUCAAGAAGAAACAAGAGGAACAUAUGAUUAAAAUGCGCUCUCUUAGUGUGCUAAUAUGCAUCUUUGGUGGUACUUUUGCUAAAAACCGAGUACCUAAAAAUAAAUGCAAACACGAGAGAACUCAAAGCACCAUAUACACAGCCUAAAAAUAUACUACAAACUUCAUUGAUCCCUGCUGAAGACGAAAACAUGAGGCUGGAUGGAGAAGCUGCUCCACAGUGCUCAAGGAUCGUUGCCAGAGACCAAAACUUAGAGCUUCAUGGAGAAAUUGCAUGUCUGACGAUUGUAGUGAUGCUCACUGAAUAUCUUGGGAGUCGUUGGACUGAUCUUUUGGUGGGACAUGUUCUUUCCUUUCACAUAUGAACGCAAUAUUUAUAACUGAAUUUCCACAUAUUAACUCAAAUUGAUGGGCAUGAACUGGGCCAAAGACCUUUCAGAAAUGUAACACAUCACUUAUAAAAAAAUGUGUAUCUCCAUGAGACCAUACUCUGCUGCACAAGUAUUAGAACAUACGGUCUCAGUGUUCGGACUCACUUAUGAAGGUAUCAAGAAGGACAAAGGGUCAUCAUUAAGUUUUACACCGAGUAUGUUAUAUCUACAGUUCUACCAUUCAGAAAAAAGAAGCUAUCAGCGAUGCAAUCUUUUCUUCAUCUCGUGGUAUCAACAAGUAGCAUCAUUGAUGAUACAUUUCCUCCCUGCAGAACAACAAUGUUUUUUGGCAAAGAAGGAAAAAAACAUAACUAUCGUGAGAAAGAAAGAACAAAAUUAAACACGUCAGAAUGACGGCUAUAAUCAACACUACUUCAGGGCUGAACAUUCCAAAAUCCAACAAAGUAAAGUAUUCAACAAAUGAAAAUGCCACACAAAUAUAUACAUCGGUCAGAGGUUAAAUAAAACUUGUAGAUCUAUACUAUACCAAUUCCAAAUCAAUUGAUGUUCAGUCUAUCUAAGCAAAGCCCUGAUAUUCAUAUGCAUGAGGCAGCGGACAAUAUUGUUCAGAGAACAAGGAUUUAAUUCCGGACACUGAUAACUUAGACGGCUCCACAUGGUAAAGCUCUAGCAACAAGAGAUAACAAAAGGGAACAUAUAAAAAUUCAACAAAUAACAUGGAGAAGGCACAAAUUCACCUAGAAUUGUGAAUACUUCGGGUUAAAAAAUUGUAAGCACUAAUUGUUAUAGUACUAAUGAGGCAGUGAACAAAAAACAUAAGCAGGUAAUUUCCGCAUCAAACAUGCUCGGCUAUUGACAUUAAUAACAUGGUCAAAGAGAAUAUUUGCCUCCUGUGUGAGGCAAAGGAGACAUAGUCUUAGAUGAUUGCCUGUACGGUUUCCCCUGCCUUGUGCAAACAUUAUACCCUUUCCUUUCUACUCGUACAUGUUCUUCUCCCCUUGAUGAAAAAGCAGAGCACCUCAUAGUUCCUCAAAAAAAAGUAGAGUUGAGAACAAAUCUGAUGAAUCAUAGACAAAAGCAGAUCAUGUACAGACGAAUGCUUCAGUAGGUAUCGGUCGUACCCAGUCAUGUAAGCCAUUUUCAUCUGGUUAUCUCUUACAAAUAAUCAACCCAAAUUCCUGUAUACACAAGUGAGAUUAGAAAAUUCAGAGAAACAUCAUUGUCAUUGCACUGGAUGUCAUAUAGGCAUUAGCCAGUAGACAAACCACAAAUAUGGGAGGAAAAAAUAGUACCUGCUUGUUAGUAUUUGGCAUAUGUCAAAAGCAUGAAUGAAGUGGAGGUGUCAUGCCGCACCACACACGAACUUAUCCCUUCAACAGUAUCAAGUUAAUCAGUUAUGCUACUUUUAUUGAUCUCAAUAUGGUCAAUUGGAAUUUGUGAUAACAGAGCUUCAUUUUUGAUGAAAUAUUUGCUAUGUAUUUCUGAUGUGUUAAGGUGGUGUUCUGUGAACCCUGACAUGUCUUGUUAUUCGAGGUUCCAAUCGAAAUAACAUACAGAUUGCAAUGGACGCCAUCCUUUGCUGAUGUACUUUUCACGGAAAAAAUCUUACAUAGACCAGGAUAUUCUGAAUAUCAUACACUGGUCCUAUCACAAGAUGUGUGUAGACUAAACUUGAGAUAGUACUCUUUUAUCAGAUCAUAUAUAUUGGAAUAAAAAACUUAGAAUGAAACCAUCAUUCACUAUAGCUCAAUUGGUAAAAUUCAUGUGAACAACAAUUUAUAAACUUACAGCUACAUGAUUGGCUAUCCAGAUCUUGUGGAAAUACCAAAGUGAGAAAGAUGGAAUCAUAAAAUAUGUACAAUACCUAAAUGGAAACUUAACAUGAGAAUGGAAGUGCCAGAUACACAUCAAAACAUUAAGCUCUUGGAAUAUACAAGGGAAGUCCCAUAAAUUCUUUUUUAGUGCAGCACCCACCAAGAGUGAACUUUCACUCAGCCUCUCUUUAAUUAGAGAUCAGAACAGACCAGAACUGUGUUAUAGAUGCUUUGAUAACCUGAAACUAAACUACAAACGGGUAAGAUGUGGAAAGAAUGAAGAGGAGGAGGGAGGGAGAAGAAUAAUAUAUCUUUUUCUUUUUCUAUAUCACAGAACUGAACUUGUAACAAUAUUAAUCAAUUCAAGGAUUCAGUUCAUGAAAAUAGAAAAGGUAAAUUGAUAUGUACAAGCACGCUUAUUAUUGAGGUAGACCAUAUCAAACUCUGCACAGCUACUCGCUGCACCAUAUCAAUCAACCAACGACCUGCCCUAGCUCGGUUACCAUCAUUGUGCAUGCAUCACAGAGGCUAAAUCUUUUAGGCAAUACAAACAUACAAAAUUACUAUAUAGCACAGAUUAUGGUGGGCCAGAACUGAAACAAAAGACAUAAACAUGACCAAAAAGAAGAACUAAGGGCACCGAUAAAUAGCAAAAGGGUAAAUUGGCACCAAUCUGUAGUACAUGCCUAGAAAAUUGUUUAUGGUAAAAAUCCAAUCUUUUAAAAGAACACAAAAUAAGGAGUAUAGCAAAGCAAUGUCUAGACUGAACUGAAGUCAAUUUACCUUGCAGCCGUCUUGGAAUCAGGUCGAACAGUUGGUGGGCGUCGAAGUAGUCCAUCGUUGCUGCCAUCGUACUCCGGCAUGUGGAGGUCGCCGGCUGUAGCGGGGGCGGGGGCGGGGGCAUGCGCAUGCAAGACGUACCGGUGGAUGUGGAGGGCGCCAAUGACUGUUGCAUCCCAUGUCGAGCCACCACCCCAUGCGAUCUGGGCUGGCUGUGUUCUCUUUGCCGCCGCCGUCGCCGCCGCCGUCCAAAUCUCUGCUGCAUGGAUGGAGAUGGGUACCGACGCAGGGAAGGAAUAUUUUUUUUUUGAAAUGGUCACGGGGGAAAGACUCCCCACCUGAAUAUAUUUCAAAAGUCAAGCAAGAGUUACAGAGUUCACAAAUUGUGUGAGGAGAGGAAAUCACGCCACAAGCUAGCAUGUCCCUUUAGAGUUUCAGACUUAAGCCGAUGCAUCCAGAGUAUCAAAUCAUCAAGGAUAGCUCUAAUAGAAACAGAAGCAUCAAUAUCCAGCCCUUGGAAAACCUUUUUGUUUCUUGCAUCCCAGAUUUUCCAGAGGACGAGGAGGAGCAUGAAGGGCCGAACUGAAGAAGGGAGCAGAGCGGGGGGAGCAGUGUUGAAGAACUCGCUGAUCGGCGUGGCCCUAGGCCGGAUACCUGUUGCGCGCCAGAUUCUUCUGGCAGCCGGGCAGGAGAAGAAGAGGUGGUCGCGGUCCUCCACUAGAUGCCCACACCUUGGGCAAGAAACAUGGUCCAAAAUAUGUUUUUUGUGCAGAUUCUUCCGAGUGUUGAGGCGGUUGAGGUAGAACAGCCACCCAAAAAUUAUAAAUUUUUUGGGCACCAUCGAAUCCCAAAUGACAGCAAGAGCCGGAUCAUCCAGCUGAUCAGAGAGAGCUGCAUAUGCUCCACGAGUGGAGAAGGCAGUACCGUUGAGCAAGCAACGAUUAUCCGGGACCUGAGAAAGUACACAUCCCUGCAACAACAAGUUUAGAGAAGCAAGUUCUGCGACCGCAGUAGAGGUUAGCCGAUUACAAAGAGCAAGCUCGAUCCCAUCCUGCAAUAAGGUGGCAACCAUGGCAUUUGGGUUUGUAUGGUGGGAGAAAAGAGCAGGAAAGACUAAAGCCAGAGGCUCCGGCUUUAGCCAACGAUCUAACCAAAAAAGGUGGAGCAACCAUCUCUGACUACACACUGUGAAAUCUCUCUCAAACAAUGCAAAUGCUUAAAAAUUGUUUUGGCCAGAAAGGAGUUGUUCUUACCAUGGCCUAUGUGGAGUGGUGAGUGAUGCAGGACCCAGUCCUUCCAGGGAAGGUUAGAGGAGUGAAGGAAUUUGUAAGCAAAUUUCAGCAGUAAGCAAAAGUUUUGAGUGCGAAGGUUUUUGACACCCAGACCACCUGCAUUCCUAGGGGAGCAGACUUUAUCCCAUGCAACCAGGCAUUUUGCCCCUGAGCACGUAUCCUCGUUGGACCAGAAGAAGGUUCGUCUACGCUUGUCGAUCGCCUCGAUAACCUUGAUAGGGAGGGAGAAGCAAAGCAUAAAGUAGGUAGGAAGACUGUCAAGGACUGCCGAGAGGAGAACAAGUUUGCCACCACGAGAGAGUAGCAGAGCGCACCAACCAGCGAGGUAACUAUCGCAACGGUCAAUGACAGGUUGAAAGGCCAAAGGUGGAAGCUUGUAGGGGGAGAGAGGGAGGCCGAGGUAGGUUUGCGGGAAGGAGGAGAUGUUGGUAGCGAGAUCGGAGGCCAUUUGAGCAGCAUCAUCGGGAUCGACGUUAAGGGGGAUGAAGGUAGUCUUGGUGAAAUUAAUUUGUAGGUCGGUGGCAGCAGCAAAACUAUCUAGGAUAUCUUUUAGAUGUUUGGCGGCAACAGGAGUGGCAUGGACGAUGAUGAGCAUGUCGUCGGCAUACUGAAGAACGGGGGAGGGGAGGUUGGGGCAAAGAGGAUGACGAAGUUGACCCCUUUGAAAGGCCUUGAUGAUCAAUUGUUGCAGUAUAUCUGCAAUGAUGAUAAAGAGGUAGGGCGAGAGAGGAUCACCCUGCCGGAGGCCAUUCUUACAUUGAAUCCAUCUUCCGGGGAUGCCAUUAAGCAUGACUGCCGUGGAACCCGUGUUUAGGAGAGACUGGAUCCAAGCGCACCAACGAGGGGGGAACCCUCUAACCUGCAAAGUGUGAAGGAGGGAGGACCAACAGACAGAGUCAAAGGCUUUCCUGAAGUCAAGUUUUACGAUGAGGGUGGGGGCUUUUCUUUUAGUGCAGCAGUGGAGGAUGUCGGCCGCAUAGAGAAAGUUUUCUGAGAUGUUUCGUCCUGACAGAAACCCCGUUUGGUCCGCAUGAACCAAGAGGGGAAUGAGUUCCUUUAGACGGUUAGUAAGGAGUUUUGCAACUCCUUUUAUAGGGCAGUUUUGGAGGGAGAUUGGUCUGAAGUCUGCAGGGGAUCGAGCCUCAUUAUGCUUAGGGAUAAGGACAAUGAGGGCCCUGUUGAGACAGGAGAUAUCGGUCGUUUGGGCAUGAAAUUCAGGGAAGAAGUGCUUGAUUUUUACUUUGAGAGUAUGCCAGAAUUUUCUGUAAAACCCUGGCCCGAAGCCAUCCGGGCCGGGGCUGGCAUUUUUAUACAUGGAGAGGAAGGCGUGGGAGAUUUCUUCGUCAGUAAAGGGAUCAUCCAAAGAGCGGAGUUGAGGGAUGGGCGUGGGAUAGAGGUCUGGAAGUGAGAAGGACCAGGAGGGUUGGAAGGCAGUGCCAAGAAGGGAUGUGUAGUAAGCCGACAGGAUACAGGAUUUGACACAAGGAAGGAAUAUGAAGGCUGGUGGUUUGGUCUCCGGCGAGGCAGUGGCUGGUGUGGGCUUUGCUGGUGGGAUUCAUCAGCCAUGGGACGUGUGGGAGAGGUGUGAAGGGGGGGCCUUUUUAUAGGCACGCUGGUACUGCACGUGGCAUGGUGCAUGGAUGACAGAUUGGCCGGCGAUGGGGUUGAGAUGGCACUGCAUGAGAGUUCCAGAAUCAUGACGAGAAAGCAGGAGUGGAGAGGUUAGCGGUGACUGGUGGGCUAGACCUCAAGAUAUUUUAGAUCGUCAAAGCCCAUGAAACACACGUGCACACAAUGCAAAUAGUCAAAGCGGUAGAGGGCAGUCAGUAAACCACAACAGCAACACGCGUCACGUUUAUAAGGGCUGUAAAAAAAGUUCAAAAAAUCCAGAAAAAAGGAACCCUUACGGGCCUAGAAUUCUUAGUAUGUAGGACUAAGAGGUAGCGCCAAAGAGGUGGAUGCAUGUCCCAAGCCAGCUAAAACCAAACCUUAGGUCGUAUAAGGCACAUGGGCGGAAGUGGAGGUGACGCAACACCUUUUGACUUGGAUUUGGACUCAAAUUCUGCACCAUCUCCAACUCAUAGGGAAUUUGAAGGGGAAUCCAAUUGUGUGGAAGAUGGUUUCUUAUUGCACCAAGGAAAAAACGUGUCGACUGGCUAUAGUGAGUGGUCUUUAACAAAUCUAGUCUAAUCUUAGCCUGUCAUUUGAUACAUGGCAAACCCAACAAAUCAGGGUAAGAUUAAGGUUCUCGUAGAGUGCUUGAAAGGUGCCAUUCCGAUGUGGAAUCAUACUCAAUCGAAAAGAGGAAACUUAUGUAUGACAGAACAUGGGAUUUUCAACCAACAGAUCUUCUUACCUCUGGACCAAAACCUUUAGCUAUUUGCUGCUCGAUCUACAACUUGGUUUAAAAUGAGCAAGCCGAUAAGCUUUCCAAAAAAACACUGAAUUUCGAGUCGGGAUGCAAAAGUUAACAAUGUUUGAAGUCAUGCAUGUUUGUGCAGUCCUGUAAUGCCCCGAGACCGUUGCGCCAGCUGUCUUCCAGUUAUGUGCGUUGUUGCCAUGUCAUUCGCUUGUGUGUUGCAUUUUGUCAUGUCAUCAUGUGCAUUGCAUCAUCAUGUUUUCAAACUUGCAUCCGUCGGGUUCCCCCAGUUCUGUCCGUUGUCCGUUCUGAGCCCAGACACACUUGCACGCGCCCGCGGCACAUCUGAAAUAUUAUUUUAUAAGUGGCAUAAAAAUGUUCUCAGAAUGGGACGAAAGUUGGCAUUCGGUGUCGUUAUGUCGUGAGUAGGCCGCCUGCCAAGUUUCAUCGUAUUCGGAGUUCGUUUUAUAGCCCAACCGUUAAACAUAUAACGACAUUAUAGUCAGUCAAUGGUCGGACGUUUUCGGUCUCCGAAAACCCAUGUCGGGCCGCUUUCUCUUCUCUCCUCUCAGUCCAAGCCCUUCUUCACAGCCCAUCGAGCCCACCUACCUACUGAUACGUCUCCGUCGUAUCUACUUUUCCAAACACUUUUGCCCUUGUUUUGUACUCUAACUUGUAUGAUUUGAAUGGAACUAACCAGGAUUGACGUUGUUUUCAGCAGAACUGCCAUGAUGUUGUUUUAUGUGCAGAAAACAAAAGUUCUCGGAAUGACCUGAGACUCCACGGAAUAUCUUACAAUAAAUAAUAAAAAAUCCUCGCCAAAGAUGAAGACCAGGGGGCCCACACCCUGUCCACGAGGGUGGGGGGCGCCCCCCCCCCCCCUAGGGCGCGCCCCCCUACCUCGUGGGCCCCCUGGAGACCUCCCGACUCCAACUCCAACUCUAUAUAUUUGCUUUCGGGGAGAAAAAAAUAGAAGAGAAGAUUUCAUCGCGUUUUACGAUACGGAGCCGCCGCCAAGCCCUAAAACCUCUCAGGAGGGCUGAUCUGGAGUCCGUUCGGGGCUCCGGAGAGGGGGAUUUGUCGCCAUCGUCAUCAUCAACCAUCCUCCAUCACCAAUUUCAUGAUACUCACCGCCGUGCGUGAGUAAUUCCAUCGUAGGCUUGCUGGACGGUGAUGGGUUGGAUGAGAUUUACCAUGUAAUCGAGUUAGUUUUGUUAGGGUUUGAUCCCUAGUAUCCACUAUGUUCUGAGAUUGAUGUUGCUAUGACUUUUUCUAUGCUUAAUGCUUGUCACUAGGGCCCGAGUGCCAUGAUUUCAGAUCUGAACCUAUUAUGUUUUCAUCAAUAUAUGAGAGUUCUUGAGCCUACCUUGCAAGUCUAUAGUCACCUAUUAUGUGUUAUGAUCCAUUAACCCCGAAGUGACAAUAAUCGGGAUACUUACCGGUGAUGACCGUAGUUUGAGGAGUUCAUGUAUUCACUAUGUGCUAAUGCUUUGUUCCGGUUCUCUAUUAAAAGGAGGCCUUAAUAUCCCUUAGUUUCCAUUAGGACCCCGCUGCCAUGGGAGGGUAGGACAAAAGAUGUCAUGCAAGUUCUUUUCCAUAAGCACGUAUGACUAUAUUCGGAAUACAUGCCUACAUUACAUUGAUGAAUUGGAGCUAGUUCUGUGUCACCCUAUGUUAUGACUGUUACAUGAUGAACCACAUCUGGCAUAAUUAUCCAUCACUGAUCCGAUGCCUACGAGCUUUCCAUAUACUGGUUUACACUUAUUUACUUUCCCGUUGCUAUUGUUACAAUCACUACAUAAUACCAAAAAUAUUACUUUGCUUUCAUUACUCUUGUGUUACCGUUACCACCACUAUCAUAUUACUUUGCUGCUAAACACUUUGCUGCAGAUACUAAGUUUCCAGGUGUAGUUGAAUUGACAACUCAGCUGCUAAUACUUGAGAAUAUUCUUUGGCUCCCCUUGUGUCGAAUCAAUAAAUUUGGGUUGAAUACUCUACCCUCAAAAGCUGUUGCGAUCCCCUAUACUUGUGGGUUAUCACCUAUCCCCCCUCCGACCGGAAGCGUCCGAUCGGCAUCGGAGGGUCCAGAAACAACCCCUAGACCCAAACCCUAGCAAUCUUUGCUAUAUAUGGACACCCUCCUUCCAAAUUUGACAUCCCCUAGUCUCCACCUACCUCCAUCCACCUACCCUCCUCAAUUUCCGCAUCUGCCCGCUUCCCCGCCGCCACUUGGCACGCUGCCAUUCGCUAGCCGUCGCCACCACCCUCGGCCUAUCGCGUCGCGCCACCUGUCCCCAGCGCCUCCCCACGCCCCUGCGCCACCGCGCGGCCCGCCAGGACCCAGAUCGGGGCCCUAGAAUCCCAUUUGCGGUCGAACCGCGCCGCUACCCGCUUCUCACGUCGCUCAAACCCCCACCCGAGUGAUUCCUCCUCACCACGCCCCCUCGCGCCCAUCGACUCACCGGAGUCGCUGCCGGCGACCACCUCCGGCCAGGUCGUGCUGCCGCUUGACCCCUCUCUCUCUGUUCCCUUUCCCUUCCUCCCCUCACCAGCUCUUUCCCUUCCUCUGUUGCCACAGGGAACCGCCGCCGCCGCCCUGGAUCUCACCACCGACCGGAGCCACUGGAGCUGAGCCACCGUCGUCCUGCUUGACCCCUGCUACCUCUUGAGCACUGCGUUUGUUUUCCCUUGAAGAGGAAAGGGUGGUGCAGUAAAGCAGUGUAAGUAUUUCCCUCGGUUUUUGAGAACCAAGGUAUCAAUCGAGUAGGAGACCACGCGCGAGUCAUCUCGUACCUACACAAACAAAUAAGAACCUCGCAACCAACGCGAUAAAGGGGUUGUCAAUCCCUUCACGACCACUUGCAAGAGUGAGAUCUGAUAGAGAUAAUAAUAAUAAGAUAAAUAUUUUUGGUAUUUUUAUGAUAUAGAUUGAAAGUAAAGAUUACAAAAUAAAAUAGAUUGGAAACUUGUAUGAUGGAAAAUAGACCCGGGGGGCAUAGGUUUCACUAGUGGCUUCUCUCAAGAUAGCAUAAGUAUUACGGUGGGUGAACAAAUUAUUGUCGAGCAAUUGAUAGAAAAGCGAAUAAUUAUGAGAAUAUCUAGGCACGAUCAUGUGUAUAGGCAUCACGUCCGUGACAAGUAGACCGACUCCUGCCUGCAUCUAUUACUAUUACUCCACACAUCGACCGCUAUCCAGCAUGCAUCUAGAGUAUUAAGGUCAUAAGAACAGAGUAACGCCUUAAGCAAGAUGACAUGAUGUAGAGGGAUAAACUCAUGCAAUAUGAUAUAAACCCCAUCUUUUUAUCCUCGAUAGCAACAAUACAAUAUGUGUCGUUUCCCUUUUUGUCAUUGGGAUCGAGCACCACAAGAUUGAACCCAAAGCUAAGCACUUCUCCCAUUGCAAGAAAGAUCAAUCUAGUAGGCCAAACAAAACUGAUAAUUCGAAGAGACUUGCAAAGAUAAACCAAUCAUACAUAAAAGAAUUCAGAGAAGAUCCAAAUAUUGUUCAUAGAUAAUCUGGAUCAUAAACCCACAAUUCAUCAGAUCUUGACAAACACAGCGCAAAAAGAAGAGUUACAUCGAAUAGAUCUCGAAGAGAAUCGAGGAGAACUUUGUAUUGAGAUCCAAAGAGAGAGAAGAAGCCAUCUAGCUAUGGACCUGAAGGUCUGAGGUAAACUACUCACACAUCAUCGGAGGGGCCAUGGAGUUGAUGUAGAGGUCCUCCGUGAUCGAUGCCCCCUCCGGCGGAGCUCCGGAAAAGGCCCCAAGAUGGGAUCUCUUGGGUACAGAAGGUUGCGACAGUGGAAGUAGGGUUUCGUGGUGCUCCUGGAUGUUUGCGGGGUAUAUGAAUAUAUAUAUAUAUAUAUAUAUAUAUAUAUAUGUGUGUGUGUGUGUGUGUGUGUAUAUAUAUAUAGGAGGAAGAAGUAGGUCGGUGGAGCAACGAGGGGCCCAUGAGGGUGGAGGGCGCGCCCAGGGGGUAGGCGCGCCCCCUGCCUCGUGGCCUCCUCGAUUGUUUCUUGACGUCCACUCCAAGUCCCCUGGAUCAUGUUUGUUCCAAAAAUCACGCUCCCGAAGGUUUCAUUCCGUUUGGACUCCGUUUGAUAUUCCUUUUCUACGAAACACUGAAAUGGACAAAAAAACAACAAUUUGGGUUGGGCCUCCGGUCAACAGGUUAGUCCCAAAAAUAAUAUAAAAGUAUAAAAUAAAGCCCAUUAACAUCCAAAACAGAUAAUAUAAUAUCAUAGAACAAUCAAAAAUUAUAGAUACAUUGGAGACGUAUCAAGCAUCCCCAAACUUAAUUCCUGCUCGUCCUCGAGUAGGUAAAUGAUAGAAACAGAAUUUUUGAUGUGGAAUGCUUCCUAACAUAUUUCUCAAUGUAUUUUUUUCUUUAUUGUGGCAUGAGUGUUCACAUCCGAAAGAUUCAAGAUAAAAGUUUAAUAUUGAUAUAAAAAUAAUAAUACUUCAAGCAUACUAACUAAGCAAUCAUGUCUUCUCAAAAUAACAUGGCCAAAGAAAGUUCGUCCCUACAAAAUCAUAUAGUUUGGUCAUGCUCCAUUUUCGUCACACAAGAAUGCUCUCAUCAUGCACAACCUCGAUAACAAGCCAAGCAAUUGUUUCAUACUUUAGUAAUCUCAAACUUUUUUCAACUUUCACGCAAUACAUGAGCGUGAGCCAUGGAUAUAGCACUAUGGGUGGAAUAGAAUAUAAUGAAGGGGGUUAUGAGGAAAGACAAAAAAGGAGAAAGUCUCACAUCGACGCAGCUAAUCAAUGGGCUAGUGAGAUGCCCAUCAAUUGAUGUCAAUGCAAGGAGUAGGGAUUGCCAUGCAAUGGAUGCACUAGAGCUAUAAAUGUAUGAAAGCUCAACAAAAGAAACUAAGUGGGUGUGCAUCCAACUUGCUUGCUCACGAAGACCUAGGGCACUUGAGGAGGCCCAUUGUUGGAAUAUACAAGCCAAGUUCUAUAAUGAAAAAUUCGCACUAGUAUAUGAAAAUGACAAAACAAGAGACACUCUAUCAUAAAUAUCAUGGUGCUACUUUGAAGCACAAGUGUGGAAAAAGGAUAGUAGCAUUUCCCCCUUUUUUAAUUUUUUGGGCCUUUUUUUUUAUUUGGCCUUUUUUUUCUUUUUUAUGGGACAAUGCUCUAUUACUGAUGAUCAUCACACUUCUAUUUAUUUACAACUCAAUGAUUACAACUCGAUACUAGAACAAGAUAUGACUCUAUAUGAAUGCCUCCGACGGUGUACCGGGAUGUGCAAUGACUCAUGAGUGACAUGUAUGAAAGAAUUAUGAAUGGUGGCUUUGCCACAAAUACGGUGUCAAGUACAUGAUCAUGCAAGGCAAUAUGACAACGAUGAUGCGUGUCAUAAUAAACGGAAUGGUGGAAAGUUGCAUGGCAAUAUAUCUCGGAAUGGCUAUGGAAAUGCUAUAAUAGGUAGGUAUGGUGGCUGUUUUGAGGAAGAUAUAAGGAGGUUUAUGUGUGAUAGAGCAUAUCAUAUCACGGGGCUUGGAUGCACCGGCGAAGUUUGCACCAACUCUCAAGGUGAGAAAGGGCAAUGCACGGUACCGAAGAGGCUAGCAAUGGUGGAAGGGUGAGAGUGCGUAUAAUCUAUGGACUCAACAUUAGUCAUAAAGAACUCACAUACUUAUUGCAAAAAUCUACAAGUCAUCAAAAACCAAGUAUUACGCGCAUGCUCCUAGGGGGAUAGAUUGGUAGGAAAAGACCAUCGCUCGUCCCCGCCCGCCACUCAUAAGGAAGACAAUCAAAUAACACCUCAUGUUUCAAAUUUGUUACACAAUGUUUACCAUACGUGCAUGCUACGGGACUUGCAAACUUCAACACAAGUAUUCCUCAAAUUCACAACUACUCAACUAGCACAACUUUGAUAUCACUAUCUCCAUAUCUCAAAACAGUCAUCAAGCAUCAAACUUCUCUUAGUAUUCAAUGCACUUAUAUGAAAGUUUUUAUUAUGCCUAAAAUCAAAUUGCCAUGUUGUUCUAAAGGACUCUAAAAAUAAUAUAAGUGAAGCAUGAGAGAUCAAUUAUUUCUAUAAAAUAAAACCACCACUGUGCUCUAAAAUAUAUAAGUGAAGUACUAGAGCGAAAACUAUAUAGCUCAAAAGAUAUAAGUGAAGUACAUAGAGUAUUCUAAUAAAAUCCAAUUCAAGUGUGUCUCUCUCAAAAGGUGUGUACAGCAAGGAUGAUUGUGGUAAACUAAAAAGCAAAGACUCAAAUCAUACAAGACGCUCCAAGCAAAACACAUAUCAUGUGACGAAUAAAAAUAUAGCUCCAAGUAAAGUUACCGAUGAACGAAGACGAAAGAGGGGAUGCCUUCCGGGGCAUACCGAAGCUUAGGCUUUUUGGUGUCCUGGUAUUUUACCUUUGGGUGCCUUCAGCAUCCCUAAGCUUAGGCUCUUGCCACUCCUUGUUCCAUAAUCCAUCAAAUCUUUAUCCAAAACUUGAAAACUUCACAACACAAAACUUAACAGAAAAUCUUCGUGAGCUCCGUUAGUAAAAGAAAACAAACCACCACUUCAAGGUACUGUAAUGAACUCAUUAUUUAUUUAUAUUGGUGUUAAACCUACUGUAUUCCAACUUCUCUAUGGUUUAUAAACUCUAUUACUAGCCAUAGAUUCAUCAAAAUAAGCAAACAACACACGAAAAACAGAAUCCGUCAAAAACAGAACAGUCUGUAGUAAUCUGUAGGUUUCAAAUACUUCUGGAACCCCAAAAAUUCUAAAAUAAAUUUCUGUAUGUGAGGAAUUUAUCUAUUAAUCAUAUUCAAAAAGAAUUAACUAAAUAUCACUCUCCAGUAAAAAAUGGCAGCAAUUCUCGCGAGCGCUAAAAGUUUCUGUUUUUUACAGCAAGAUCAAAAAGACUUUCCCCAAGUCUUCCCAACGGUUCUACUUGGCACAAAAACUAAUUAAACACAAAAAACACAACCAAAACAGAGGAUAGAUAAAUUAUUUAUUACUGAACAGGAACAAGAAGCAAGGAAUAAAAACAAAAUUGGGUUACCUCCCAACAAGCGCUAUCGUUUAACGCCCCUAGCUAGGCAUAAAAGCGAAGAUAGAUCUAGAUAUUGCCAUCUUUGGUAGGCAAUUCUUCAAUAAGACACCUAUAACUCCUAGGAGUUUCUUUCUUUUUAUUAAUUAUCAAACUCCUAGGCAUGAAAUUGAGAAAAUCAUUUGUAGCAAAAGGUUCCUUAAUGAUAGUGAGAAAAUUGGGGUGAACACUUAUGGAUUUGAGGUCCGCAUUUUCCUUACUAGAAGUUUCACCCUUAUGUUUAGGAACAUACAUCAAUUUGGCAAUCUUAGCAUUAGGAGGAGUGUUUUUCACGGAAGAAAAGGCCGACCCAAGGUUUGUAAUAAUAUCCCCAAUUUUAUCAAUUCUAGUGGAAUCUUGAUCUAUCUUUUCAUUAACCAUAGGUCCCUUUUCUUUAAAAAAAUUAAGAGCAACUCCUACCUUAGAUCCGUAUUGGGUAAUUUGGUUAUGGAUCUUUCUAUCCAAAUUUUCAAUUAACUCUAUCGUGGAAACUUUAUUUUCAAUAAUUUCAAGUCGUUGCAUCACAUGUUCCAAAGUUAAAAUAGUUCCAUUAACCAAAAGAGGUGGUGGGCCAAACAAAUCUUUCAUAGCAUUAUAAGAAUCAAAAGUAUGGCUACCCAAGAAAUUUCCUCCGGUAAUGGUAUCAAGAAUACAUCUAUUCCAAGGAGUGAUGCCUACAUAAAAAUUGCGAUGAAGAACGGAAGUAGAUUGCAUCCUAGUAGAUCUAUUUUGCGCAUUGCAAAUUCUGUACCAGUCAUCUUUUAGAUUUUCUCCUCCCUUUGUUUAAAAUUGAGAACUUCAUUCUCGGGUGACAAACGAGCGGCUAGAGGACUAGCCAUAACGACGAAGCAAGCAGAAAAGAGGCGAGCGGAAAGAGAGGGCGAAAGGAAAAGAUGGCGAAUAAAACGGUAAGGGUGAAGUGGAGGAGAGGAAAACGAGAGGCAAAUGGCAAAUAAUGUAAUGCGAAGGAUAAGAGUUGUGAUGGGUACUUGGUAUCUAUUGACUUGGCGUAGAUCUCCCCGGCAACGGCGCCAGAAAUCCUUCUUGCUACCUCUUGAGCACUGCGUUGGUUUUCCCUUGAAGAGGAAAGGGUGGUGUAGUAAAGCAGCGUAAGUAUUUCCCUCAGUUUUUGAAAACCAAGGUAUCAAUCCAGUAGGAGACCUCGCGCGAGUCACCUCAUACCUACACAAACAAAUAAGAACCUCGCAACCAGCGCAAUUAAGGGGUUGUCAAUCCCUUCACGGCCACUUGCAAGAGUGAGAUCUGAUAGAGAUAAUAAUAAUACGAUAAAUAUUUUUGGUAUUUUUAUGAUAUAGAUUGAAAGUAAAGAUUGCAAAAUAAAAUAGAUUGGAAACUUGUAUGAUGGAAAAUAGACCCGGGGGCCAUAGGUUUCACUAGUGGUUUCUCUCAAGAUAGCAUAAGUAUUACGGUGGGUGAACAAAUUACUGUCGAGCAAUUGAUAGAAAAGCAAAUAAUUAUGAGAAUAUCUAGGCACGAUCAUGUAUAUAGGCAUCACAUCUGCGUCAAGUAGACUGACUCCUGCCUGCAUCUACUACUAUUACUCCACACAUCGACCGCUAUCCAGCAUGCAUCUCGAGUAUUAAGUUCAUAAGAACAGAGUAACGCCUUAAGCAAGAUGACAUGAUGUAGAGGGAUAAACUCAUGCAAUAUGAAAUAAACCCCAUCUUUUUAUCCUCGAUGGCAACAAUACAAUAUGUGUCGUUUCCCUUUCUGUCGCUGGGAUCGAGCACCGCAAGAUUGAACCCAAAGCUAAGCACUUCUUCCAUUGCAAGAAAGAUCAAUCUAGUAGGCCAAACCAAACUGAUAAUUCGAAGAGACUUGCAAAGAUAAACCAAUCAUACAUAAAAGAAUUCAGAGAAGAUUCAAAUAAUGUUCAUAGAUAAUCUGGAUCAUGAACCCACAAUUCAUCGGAUCUCGACAAACACACCGCAAAAAGAAGAGUUACAUCGGAUAGAUCUCCAAGAGAAUCGAGAAGAACUUUGUAUUGAGAUCCAAAGAGAGAGAAGAAGCCAUCUAGCUACUAGCUAUGGACCCGAAGGUCUGAGGUAAACUACUCACACAUCAUCGGAGGGGCCAUAGAGUUGAUGUAGAGGCGCUCUGUGAUCGAUGCCCCCUCUGGCGGAGCUCCGGAAAAGGCCCCAAGAUGGGAUCUCUUGGGUACAGAAGAUUGUGGCGGUGGAAAUAGGGUUUCGUGGUGCUCCUGGAUGUUUGCGGGGUAUAUGAAUAUAUAUAGGAGGAAGAAGUAGGUCUCUGGAGCAACGAGGGGCCCAUGAGGGUGGAGGGCAUGCCCAGGGGGUAGGCGCGCCCCCUGCCUCGUGGCCUCCUCGAUUGUUUCUUGACGUCCACUCCAAGUCCCCUGGAUCACGUUUGUUCCAAAAAUCACGCUCCCGAAGGUUUCAUUCCGUUUGGACUCCGCUUGAUAUUCCUUUUCUACGAAACACUGAAAUAGGCAAAAAAAAUAGCAUUUUGGGUCGGGCCUCCAGUUAAUAGGUUAGUCCCAAAAAUAAUAUAAAAGUGUAAAAUAAAGCUCAUUAACAUCCAAAAUAGAUAAUAUAAUAGCAUGGAACAAUCAAAAAUUAUAGAUACGUUGGAGACGUAUCAACCCCACCGUACAGAUCCGCUCCGUGUCGCCCCGUUCUGCCGUUCCCCGACGUCCCUGCACCUUCAAGCACCGCCGCCGCAUCAAGUCCAUCGCGCCGACCUCUGCUUCCACUUCAACAAGCAAUAGGAGUGCCGCUCAUCGCCGUUGACCGCAGCUGCGCGUGAACUCCCGCGCCUUGGGCCGCCUUCUGUUGCCAAGGCCCAGCCAGCGCCCUGCCGACCUGCCUCUUCCAUCGUUCGGGCCUUGGCCCAUUGAGCUGCCUCUCCUUGGCCCAUCACCGUGAUCCCCAAGGCCCAUUUCCCUGUAGGCCAAUGUGAGCAACUCCCCUCAGCCCAGUACAACUCAAAUUCGGCCCAACAAUGUUUUUUUCUUGUCACUAGCGAUUUUGUCAUUUUUUCAGAGAGUGCAGUUUUACAGAAAGUCCUCCUUGUUCAUGCAUUUAAUAACUCCACAACCGUGCUCUGUAUUAAAAUGUUUUAAAUAUGAAAAAUGCUUAGAAUCUUGUCUAGUUUCAUAAUAUCCAACUUUCAUGCAUAUUUAAAAUGUUGUUUGUGUUUAUUUUGCAUAAUGUCAUGUUAAAAUGAUUUAAUUCAUAACUAAAUAACCGUAGCUCCAUUUUAAAUAAACUUUAUAUGUAAAUGGUGUAGAAAAUGUCUAGUUUAACAUGGUGGCAUUACUUUGCAUGUUUAACAACUCUAAAAUGUGGUUUAGGGCAGAACAGUACCAAAUUCAUAAUAUGCAUAUGAGGAUUUUCCGGAAUUGUUGUUUGUUGUUCCGGCCUCAUUUAAACUUGCCUAAAUAGUUAGAUUACUUAUGCUUCACCUCUUGCCAUGUUAAUCAACAUUUAAUAUUGUUUGGUACAUAAACGAGAGUGAACUAAAUGUUUGAAUGUGGUGUUUCGUCAAUAUGCAACUCGUUGCAUAUUGAGCUCCACUUAAUUUGUAGUGUUGUUUGUGCAUAUUGCCAUGCCUAAUUAAACCAGACAUGCAUCAUACUUGGUUGUGCAUAUUGCCAUGUUUAUGUGAUGGUUGUUUACAAUUGUCGGUGUCAAAACCGGUGGAUCUCAGGUAGGGGGGUCCCGAACUGUGCGUCUAAGGCGGAUGGUAACAGGAGGCGGGGGACACGAUGUUUACCCAGGUUCGGGCCCUCUUGAUGGAGGUAAUACCCUACGUCCUGCUUGAUUGAUGUUGAUGAUAUGAGUAUUACAAGAGUUGAUCUACCACGAGAUCGUAGAGGCUAAACCCUAGAAGCUAGCCUAUGGUAUGAUUAUUGUUGUCCUAUGGACUAAACCCUCCAGUUUAUAUAGACACCGGAGGGGGCUAGGGUUACACAGAGUCGGUUACAAGGGAGGAGAUCUACAUAUCCGUAUUGCCAAGCUUGCCUUCCACGCCAAGGAGAGUCCCAUCCGGACACGGGAUGAAGUCUUCAAUCUUGUAUCUUCAUAGUCCAACAGUCCGACCAAAGGAUAUAGUCCGGCUGUCCGGAGACCCCCUAAUCCAGGACCCCUCAGUAGCCCCCAAACCAGGCUUCAAUGACGAUGAGUCCGGCGCGUAGAUUGUCUUCGGCAUUGCAAGGCGGGUUCCUCUCCAAAUUCUGAAUAUCUGCUAAGUAGGGUCCGGCUCCCUAUAAAUGUUGCACUCCUUGGCUUCCGCGCCCAAUAAGGGCUUUCUUCCACGUGUCGAGCGAAUGCGAGGAGCCAGGGCAUUUUUACAUUUGCCACCCUAGCCAUGUAAGUAAGCUGUCUAUUAAAGAGACGAGGAUUCUUAGAUCCAGACCACACCAUCCUCCCUCGGCGAGCAUCCAUCAGAGCGCGCUCGGAAAAAUCCAUUCCAACAUGGCCGGCCAUAGCAGCUCCUCCUCUCGCUCCCGUAGCCCUAAGCCCGGUGAUUGGGAGAAGUGUUCCGUCCCGCAUAGCCAAUUAGUACGGUUACGGACCCAUGGAUUUCUCCCUCCAGCGUAUAUGGUCCCUGUUCGAGCCGGGCUUGCCACCUAUAAUGGCGGGGAGCAAGCGGAGAGCUUCCCCAAUCCCUCUAUGGGGGAGCAGGUAUGCCUCGUCCCUUAUUUACUAAGGGGACUUGGAUUUCCAAUCCAUCCAUUCCUCCGCAGGCUCAUGGAGUUUUAUGGCCUCCAGUUGCAUAAUUUCACCCUUGCUUCCAUAUUACAUAUUGCUGGUUAUGUUGCCUUUUGUGAGCUGUUUCUGGGCUGCGAAGCUCAUUUCGAGCUAUGGAAAAGGCUAUUCUGCCUUGUGCCCCGCACACAGGAGGGGUCAAUAUAUCAAGUGGGCGGAGCCGAAAUAUGGCGCAUCGCCGGGACCGAAUACCUAUUCGGUACCCCGAAGAAGACGUCUGAAGACUGGCCUUCGGAGUGGUUUUAUAUGGAGGACGUCCCCCUUCCAGAUCCUAUUCGGAUGGGUCUUCCCGAGUUCGAUAAUGCCCCUUUGAAGAAAUGCAGAAGCUGGCGCCCACGGAGCCCUCAGGAGGAAGAUAACGGAGAAGUCCUUUACCUGAUGGGCCGGAUAAAAGUGUUGGCUCAAUCAGGACUGGCAAUAAUCAAAGUUAUGUCCAUAUGUAUAAUGCGGGGGGUGCAACCACUUCAAUAUCGAGGGCACCCCAUGCUGCGGGCGUAAGGGACCAGACUCGGUUGCUGCUCUAGCAAAAAUUCUGUCCGAUCUGUUCAAGGGAGAGGAAGAGGAGUUCAUCCGUAUUAAGCCACGGGAUGGAUUCUCCAUGUACAACCCUCCAAGCUGGGUGAGCUGUCACUUUUUACUCCCAACCUUCCCGCAUUCUUCGUCAUAAAUACUCACCUUGCCGUUUCAUGGUAGGAACUGCGAAAGGCUGUAGGGGAGGUCAACAGCCCACCUCCACAGCCGGAGGACCCUGACCGGGCCCUCGAUCCCGGACUCAAAGAGGAUCCGGACAUAUUUGUGGAGCUGAUCGACAGGACAUUCUAUCAAUUGAGCUGCGAUGAUGCCAUGGUGGCCAUCAUAGCCGACUAUCCUGGGCUACUCCCUGCAUCGCAUGUAAGAAAAACGGAGCCCCAACUUCUGAGAAGGAUCCCCUUUAAUGCACUUCACCUACCAUACACAUAUGGUGUUUUACAGGGAAGGCCCCCGGGACGCCAUGCCGAACCCGCAGUGACUCGCCAACAAGGGACACCGAAGCCGGGUAGGCCAAAAAGGAAGGCGGUCAAGACUGAGACGCCGGCGCAGAGGUAUGAUAAAGAACCUCGCUCCAUUGUCUUUAAAAUAUAAUGACGUCCAUGUUUCCCAGUAGGAAAAAUGCUCGCCGGACUAUAUCCGGAGAGGUUACCGAUCACGCCUCCACCAGUCGGGCUCCUGGGCCAGACAUAGAGGCGGAAGCUAACACGGGGCGAACGCCAGAUGCUCCUCCCACAGAGGAUGCGGAUAGACUAUCCGCUACAAAUUCCAAAGUGGAGAGCACCAUGAAUCACAGGCGUCGCCGGGCCGUACUUCGUGACACUUGUUUCUCCCAAGAGGCGUUCGAUGCCUUCAACUCAGGAGACGCGUACAUCCAUGCUGCUCAAAACGGUCUUGCCAGAGCCACAGACCAGUAUGUAAAGGAUAUACGGGUAAGAAAAUCUGACGAUUAUAUAUAUCAGUAGCCCCUGAGACUUAAACAGUUGACACAACUGAUUUAAGGAUCAUUAUUUGUGCAGGUUCUUACAGAGAAGAAUACCCAAUUGUCUCAAGAGCUAGAAGAGUGCAAAGCCCAGCUACGGGCCGCGGUUGCCGUGUUGAAGGAGUCCGAGAAGGCCCCCUCUGGUAACAUUUGUUUCCAUUGCAAAGAAUAACAGGUACCAGAUAGUAUGCGACAUGCAUGCAAAUCUAACAAUAGAUGUUGCAGAUGACUCCGGAGUGAAUCUGGAGGCCAUGCCAGAGAAUGCGCAACGUGCCAAUCGACAGCCUAAUGCUGGCGAGCGCGUGCUUACGCGGGUCAGGCAGGAGAAAAAUAAUCUCCAGGGCGCCAAUAUCCGGCUGGGCGUGGAACUGAAAGAUGUCCGAGCCCAUCUUGCGGACUCCGUGAAGGAGAAUAAGCGGCUUCGACGCGGCAUUUUCAGUAAGUGCUCGAACAAACUUUUGAAAGAGUUCGGCGAAGAAGCUGGCUAACAGAGUUAUGUCUGCAGGUAUGCUGACGGGUCGUCCCGCGAAGGAGAAGCUCGGGUCUGCGGGUGAUCUUCUACCAGAGCUCUCACAACUACACGAACAAGUUCGGCAGGUGAUGCCACUACAAAAAAAGACACAUCCGUGACAUUUUGGGCCGAACGAAUUUUUUUCCUGUCAUACAUAUGACACUUCUAUGACGAUAAUUGUGACAAAACCCGGUAUCAUCAUAGAUGUGGUGGGCUCCUACUUCUAUGACAAAAAAUCAUGAAAGAAAAUGGGCUUUUCGUCCUGGGCGGGCCGGAGACACAGCUGCAUGACAUUCUUUGGGCCGUCCAUGACGGAAAAAACCGUGGUAGAAGCGAGGGGGAGGAAAAUUUCGGGGAGUUCCCGAUUACGGUGGGAGGUCGAGGCCGAGCGAGGCGCGUUUCUCUCGUACACGUACGCGCGUGUGUGCGAGGCAUUGGCUCUAACUGAACCCGAGCGAGGCAUUGGGCUCUAACUGAAGCCGAGCGAUUGCACUGCAGGCUACGCGUUACUGAACCCGAGCGAUCGAUCGAUGGCUGUUAACUGAACCCGAUCAAGCGAUUCCUUCGCUACUGCUGCUAACUGAAGCCGAUCGAUGCUGCCUUUGGANNNNNNNNNNNNNNNNNNNNNNNNNNNNNNNNNNNNNNNNNNNNNNNNNNNNNNNNNNNNNNNNNNNNNNNNNNNNNNNNNNNNNNNNNNNNNNNNNNNNNNNNNNNNNNNNNNNNNNNNNNNNNNNNNNNNNNNNNNNNNNNNNNNNNNNNNNNNNNNNNNNNNNNNNNNNNNNNNNNNNNNNNNNNNNNNNNNNNNNNNNNNNNNNNNNNNNNNNNNNNNNNNNNNNNNNNNNNNNNNNNNNNNNNNNNNNNNNNNNNNNNNNNNNNNNNNNNNNNNNNNNNNNNNNNNNNNNNNNNNNNNNNNNNNNNNNNNNNNNNNNNNNNNNNNNNNNNNNNNNNNNNNNNNNNNNNNNNNNNNNNNNNNNNNNNNNNNNNNNNNNNNNNNNNNNNNNNNNNNNNNNNNNNNNNNNNNNNNNNNNNNNNNNNNNNNNNNNNNNNNNNNNNNNNNNAACAGUUCCCGAUGGGGGUGGAUGAACAGGACCCCGAUCGAUCGAGCCGGUUGGGGCUGGAUGAACAGGACCCCGUGGAGGGCUGGAUGAACAGGACCACCCCGUGGAGGGCUGGAUGAACAGUAGAUGGUGGAGGGCAGGAUGAACAGUAGCCUGUGGAGGGGUGGUUGAACAGGAGCCCGUGGACAUGGCUAGUUGAACAGUAGCCGGUGGAGUAGCGUGCGGUGGAGGCUAGAUGAACAGGAGCCCGUGGAUGAACAGUCGCAGGUGGAGGCUGGAGGAGGUCGACGGUGGAUGAACAGUAGCUCGUGGAGGCUGGAGGGGGUCGACGGUGGAGAUGAACAGUAUCCUGUGGAGUCCUGUUUUGUGGUACGUCACACCCCUCCUGAUGAACAGGACCCCCGUUUCGACCGUAGCGCUCCAACACAAGUCCGUUUCGUCCGUUUUGUGGUACGCCACACCCCUCCCGAUCAACAAGACCCCCGUUUUAACCGUAGGAGGUCUAUUUCCUCCGUUUUGCGGUACGCCAGACCCCUCCCGAUGAACAGGAUCCCGUUUCGAACAUGGCUGGUCGAACACAAGGCCGUUUCCUCCGUUUUGCGGUGCGCCAGGCCUCGUUUCCAUCGCCUGUUCCGUCCAAGCCCUCCUGAUGAACACGACGCAUUCCGUUGCCUCCCCAUGAACACGACGAUGACGCUGUUUCUCCGUUCCGACCCAGCAAUGUACACGAGCCCUGGCCGUACGUAUGCGCGAGUAGGCGUUUGAGACCCCGCCCGUAUGUACACAUACGUGGCCGUAUUUUCUUUCUUGCACCCUAGCCGCUGUACGUACGUGUACAUGCUACGUGCGCGCCUCUACUACGACACGUGCGCGCCUCUACAUCAACCAGUAUGUACGUACACGUUCGCGACCAGAAUGACAACACUACGUAUGCUUCAACCAGGUGGGUCCCGACUGUCAGGCACUUCCUUGCCUGCGAAGAUGUAGCUGGUGGGUCCCAGCAGUCAGGGGGCGAAUCGUUUUUGUUUUGCCCGGACGCACUUCCUUGCGUGCGAAGAUGUAGCUGGUGGGUCCCAGCAGUCAGGGGGAAACAUUUUUUUCAUGAAAUACAGUGGCCCGUCCGGUGUGUCCCAGCUGUCAGGUGGAGGAAUCAUUAUUUUCCACGUAAUAAGGAGGCACUUCCUUGCUGCGGCCGUGGACCCAGCUGUCAGCCUCUCCAUGUACAGUCCACGUCCGAUGGAAGUCAUUCCUUGACCACGUUGACCACGCCGCGCCGAGAGCACCAGGGCGGUGGACGACGGCGAGGCCUAGGAAGGGGACGACACGGAGGCAGGGAAGACUCGACAGUUGUUUGCCACGCGGAGGGGAGUAUGACUGUACGAGGGUUUACUGGUUCGUCUGCCGUCGCCGGAGAAUAACAGCAGGUGUGGGUGAGUAGAGGGAUGGCUAGGCCAACGAUGGGAGUACGGUCGGGCGGUGAGGCCUGCGCGGCAGCACAGCCGGCCGCGAGGAGGAGGGAGCAGGCAGUCCCGUCGGCGCUUGUUUGAACGGCUGGAGCAGGAAGAGCAGAGAUUGAAGAAGCACGACGGCCGUUGGAUGGACAUCCAACAGUCAGUGCUUGUGCGUCAACCUUUUUUUAGGAAAGACUCAAAUCUGUGGUAAACAGCAUAUAGCCCAUCUGCCAUUAUUUCUAAUAAUUUACAGCCCAUUUGCUAAUUCUUAAGGUUUUUUGGAGCCCAUAUUCUUUUUGUUAGCAUUACAGCCCAUAUUGUGGCAACGGUUAAAAAAUCAUACGAAAUUUUGCAUAUUUCGGUGUGGUCUGAACUGUUUUUAAUCUCGAAAUUUCGACUCACAUUCAAACUGAUUUUAAAAAUAAAUGUAUAUCAAUAUAAAAUCCAACAAAUUCUCCAAAAAUUAAUGUAAUUUAAAAUCUUGAAAUGAAAAAAAAAGAUAUUUGAAACUAAUUGCCGGUUUGAUGUGUUUUAAAAAUGUACAUCCCAUUUCUCAUUACUGAUGGGCCAUUUUCUCGACCAGCCGAAUGAAAGCUCUCCUCGUCUUGAAAGAUUUGCAGCCCAACAUGCCUGACAAAGCGACUUACUUGGCAAAUCACAAAAAAAACUGUGUUGUGGCCGUGGACCCAGCUGUCAGCCUCUCCACGUACAGUACUCUUCCGAUGGAAGUCGUUCCUUCACCAUGUUGACCACUCCACGCGGAGAGCACCACGGCGGUGGACGAUGGCGAGGCCUAGGAAGGGGACGACGCGGCAGUGGAAGCCUGCGCGGAGAGGACUACGAGGGUUCACAGGUUCGGCUGCGGUGUGAGGCUGCCGUCGCCGCAGGGCCUGGCCAGUGGUGGGAAUAGUAGGGGCGGUGAGGCCUCUGCGGCAGCACAGCCGGCCACGAGAGGCAGGAGCAUGCGGCAUGACCGGCGCUGCUUUGGGUGGCUGGAGCAAGAAGACCAGAGGUUGAAGAAGCACUACGGUAGUUGGAUGGACAUCGUACGGUCACUAGAGCUAGAAUCGUUCAUAUUGACUAAGUUGACAAAGCCCUUCAUCCCCGUCAACUUAGUAGGCCCACAAGUCAGCCUCCCAGCAAGGUGGGUCCCAGCUAGCCGGGGGAGUAUUCAAUUUUUUUUGUGUAAUAAGGAGGCAGUUCCGGUGGGUCCGAGCUGACAGCGGGGGAAACGUGUUUUUCGCAAAAUACGGUGGCCUGUCCGGUGGGUCCCAGCAGUCCGGGGGAAACGAUUUUUUUCGCAAAAUACUGGUGGCCCGUCUGGUGGGUCCCUGCUGUCAGGUGGAGGAAUCAUUAUUUUCCGCGUAAUAAGGAGGCACUUCCUUGCUGCCGCCGUGGACCCAGCUGUCAGCCUCUCCAUGUACAGUCCACGUCUGAUGGAAGUCAUUCCUUCCAUGUUGACCACGCCGUGCCGAGAGCACCAGGGUGGUGGACGACGGCGAGGCCUAGGACGGGGGCGACGUGGAGCCGGUGAAGACGCGGCAGUGGAUGCCCACGCGGAGAGGAGUAUGAGAGUUCACUCGUUCGGCUGCGGUGUGAGGCUGUCGUUGACGCAGGGCCUGGCCAGCGGUGGGAAUAGUAGGGGGCGGUGAGGCCUCCACGGCAGCACAGCCGGCCACGGGAAGCAGGAGCAGGCGGCACGACCGGCGCUGCUUUGGGCGGCUGGAGCAAGAAGACCAGAGGUUGAAGAAGCACUACGGCCGUUGGAUGGACAUCGUACGGUCACUGCAGCUAGAAUCGUUUAUAUUGACUAAGUUGACAAAGCCCUUGGUACGUCAACUUAGUAGGCCCACAGGUCAGCUUCCGAAACGGUGUGCCCCAGAUGUCAGGGGGAGGAAUCAUUUUUUGGGCGCGUGAAGCUAGAAUAUCCAAGAUUGAAGAAGAAGCACGGCAUCCGUUGGAUAGACAUCCAACGGCCACUGCUGCUAGAACCGUGUGUUGACUAUAAGUUGACAAAGUCUUGCAUACGCGUCAACUCUUUUUUUAGGGACGCGUCAACUUAGUAAGGCCAGAAGUAUGUGGGAGAGAACUUAUAGCCCAUUUGAGAUUUGUAAGAAAUUGUAGCCCAUUUUUGAAUUCUAAUGGAAUUUACUACAACCCAUUUACAGUUUGUUAAAAGUACAGCCCAUUUCAACCAACCGUUCAAAACAGAAUUCAAUAAAAUUUUCCACAUUUUGAUGGAUCUGAAAUAUUUUUAUCCCGAAAUUUAUAGUCAAAUUAAAUACAAUUUCAAUAUAAAUUUAUAUUACAUAAAAAUCCAACGAAACAUUGCGCUUGCAAGAAUUAAUGAAAUUAAAAUUUUCAAUAUCCAAAAAUAAUAUUUUAUAAAGUAAUCACGUGUUUGGUGCAUUUUUUAUAGUUACUGCCUAGUUUUUAUAAUUACAUCCCAUUUAUUAUUUCUUAAAGCCCACUUUCUUGUUAAGCCUAAUGCAUCCCUCCUAGGAAAGAUUUGCAGCCCAGCGGGGCGGAGAAUAACAACUUGACCUUGCCUGGGUAUUCCUAAAAAAAAGUAUAGCUGGGCUAGCCAUUUUCAGCUUGAAAAAAAUUAAUAUCUGGGCUGGAUAUCUGCUCUGGGCUAGACGGGCCAUAGCCCACCCAGUUAAUACCUGCAUCGAUGUUUUCGUUGUUGUUCAGAGGAGAAAAAUUAAUAUCUGGGCUAAACAUCGAAAAACUCUGCAGUGCUCACACCUCAAAAACACAAAUACUGCUCGAGCUGCUUGGUCCCAGCUGUCGGCCGUUUCUUGUGCAAUUCUCUCGUUUAUUGACUAGUACUAUAUAGGUUGACAAUGGUGUGGGAUCGUGAUGUCAGGAAACCAGGGGGAAGCAAAAUAUAUAACUCCAGCGAGCGCUUCCACCUCUGCCUCGUUGUCUCCCGUGGAAACCCCUUUCCUCCCUUUUUUUGCUCGAGCAAGGACCAAUGCAUGCAGCACGUCCAUGCGGUUAUUAGGCAAGAAAUAAAAGUGCUUUGCAUGCUAUGAAUUACGAUGGCCUGCAUGGGUAGCUAAUAAGGCAUCCUCUUAACUGCUAUGAUUAAAUGUUGUGUUUAGAAGAGAGAAAUAUUCUUCUUUUCCACCAAUCUGCUUGCACCUAGGUCGUGAUGCACCUUCUAAUACGACUUAUUCACCUAGAUGGAGGGAGUAUAGUUUUAUACAUAUAUAUAUAUAUAAUACUAAGGAGGCACUUGCAUACGUUGGUGGGUCCCCAUUGUCAUCCUCUCCAAGUAAAGUCAUCUCCUCGCCCUCGCGCGCUUUCCGCCCGAAACAGUCAGCGCCACCCGCCCUGCUUCCUGGUGCAGGCGAUUGCUCUGCCUUCAAACGACACAAGUGUCGUCCGUCCGUCCAUCUGCUGCCCACAUUAAUGAUACGCGGUUGCCUAGGCGGCUACUCCGGCGCCACACGUCCGUCCCUCCGCCCGCCCACCAUUGCUAUAUAAACUGUUGCGUCGGCCAUAGCUGCAGCCAUCCGCAUUCGUUCCCUUUCUCCUGUCCACACCACUACUGCCUACCAUGGCUUCCUCGUGCUCCAGCGCUCUUCGGGACGGGCGAACGACAGACCACAAGGAGAUGGCAGCCAUUGCUGCCGACCGGCUGGCCGGCAGGCAGCCGGAGGACGACAACGUCCCAAUGGAGAACAUGGUAGUCGACGAUCCGGCGCCAACCCCCUCCUCCGCGCCAUCCUCGCUGGUGCAUUGCACCAUGACCAUCGGCGAGGCCCGUGCCCAAUAUAUGGACAGUGUGAGGCAGAUGCGUUAGGAGCAGUUCCAGGAGGCGCAGGCCGACGCCGCCUACAACCACCAUCUCCUCCAGGAGCAUCUGCAGGUGGAGGAGCAGAUCGCCGCGAAGCGGACGGAGCAGGAGGCGCUGCUCGAAGUCGUACCGCUCCGCCUGCAAGGGCCGCCUCGAGCACUGGCGGGAGCGCAUGCGGGUGGCGGAGGCUGCAGCUGCCUACAAAGAGGCUAGCAAAGAGGGCGAUGAAGCGGGCGAGGCGCUGUUUGGCGAGAUCGAGGACGAGGCAGAGGACAAUGCCGGCUCUGACGAGUCCCCGCUCCGCUGGCGUCGACGAGGCCCUGCUCCGCCGAGGCCCCGUGGCGCCAACAACGAGGCAGAGGACACCGCCGGCUCCGCCGAGGCCCCGCCCCGCUAACAACGAGGUAGAGGGCAUCGCCGGCUCAGCCGAGGCCCCACCCUGCCGGCAACACGGGGGAGGAUUUCCACUGCUCCGCUGAGGCGCCGCCCGCCGACAACAAGACAGAGGACAUUGCCGGCUCCGCCGAGGCCCCGCCCCGCUGCCAACGAAGCCGCGCCACACAAAAAAUGAGGAAGAGUAGAACAUGGUAGGUCGCCGCCGCUCGGGUCCAAGUAAGGCCACCGCUACUACCCUCCUGUUGAAGCCAAGCUAGGUGGGUUGACCAUUGACGGCCAGUUAGAUUCUUGGCAGCGACGUGGAGUCGGGAAGUUCUGCUGGAGAAUAACGCUGCUUCUACUUAACUGCUGGUGCAGUCAGCUGACUGACACGUGGGCCCAAUAGGCCACAUGCCAGUUAUGCAACUGCACCUACAGUUAAGUCACUGAAGCUUCUGUUCGGCUCAGCGAGACACAGGUGGGUAGCUUCGGUUAAUUAAUUAUACCUCCAGCGCACCCCUUUUUAGUUGAAGAAUGUAUGAAAUGUAAUGAAAUCUGGCAUGUUUAUAUGAAAUCCGACCAUGUAUGAAUGAAUUUAUUUCGAUUAGUUUGAAUUCCUGUAUCACUGGCAUUGGAGGAACAUGCAAAACAAGAUGUACUAGCAUUAUUCCCAGGGUGAUCACCUUGUUUGCAGCAGUUUCACAUGUACUCCCUCCGGUCCUUUCUAGUCUGCAUACAAGUUUUGUCUGCAGUCAAAGUAUCUCUACUUUGACCAAUCUUAUACAAAAAAGUAUGCACUUUCACAAUGUGCGAAGUAAAGAGGAACGGAAGGAGUACAAAGAGUUUGAGCAGGUUUUUAGCGUUUCUGUACAUUGCAAUCAAACACACAGGCCUGGCAAUUCAUAGAGGACAUUCAAAACAAUCGAUGAUUAUGCAUCUCUGUGACUCACAUGUCAGAGGCAAUAUUUACUUCACAACUAAAGAAUAAAGAAAAAAUUGAUUGACACUGCUGACAGCAAGGGCGUCCCAUUCGAAAAUAUCAAACGCAUGUCUUGCUAAAAUCAAUGAGCAAAAUUUGACAAGGUUGUCCCAUUCCAAAAUAUCAAAUGCCUACGAUUGUGGAAUGGGCAGGGUUUGCCAUCAGUUCGGACAUUGACAUGGCACCUCGUGCUAAAUAAACCAGCUGUUCUUUUUGUGCAGUUCCACCAAAAUCAACCAAAUUCGCGCGUAUCUUGUAUGAUUUUGCCCUUAUAUGUUGCAACGCCUUGAACUUAUCGGCACCUCCUUUCUUGUGGUGGAAAUGAAUGAUUCGAUGUAUUCAUGAACAUUUUGUGCAGUUCCCAUUGAAAUCAAGCUGAGCACCCCUGUUUGCACAAAUACAAAAAAGUGAUUAGUAUAGAGCAAACUGUACUAUGAAUUGACAGUUUCAACAGGCACAUACAUGGUCCAUGUAGAGCACACUUUUAGAAAAAUGGAACUCACCAGAAAGAAUCCUAGAACAACAUUGUACUCACGCAUCCCAACAAAAAAAUGGAGAUUUUUUCAGUCCUUCUGAGCUGAAGUUAGUUUGGUCUUGUAGGGAGUAAUGUAACCAUCCUUCAACUGCUCCUUCUGAUGAUAAGAUAGACAGGGCUUCUUCAUCCUGGCAUAAUCGGAACUAGUCACUUCACGUACUCCAUAUUCUUCUUCAGAGGAAGAUGAUCCUGUUGUGCAAAGACAAGAGGACUACUAAAUGCUAGCAUCACUGUUUGCUCGAAAAAAAGGAAAGGAAAUAUUUAAAACAACACAGAUGAAGCACUUCUCAAGGACAAUACCACUUUUUCAUGACAACACCGGGAGUUGAUUUUUGUUUUUCUUCCCCUUCAUCACUUGGUUCAAUUGCAAACAAGCUUCGCCUUCAAUGUAAGAUUUGGCAUGUCAAUUAGGGAGCACAAGUAUAGUACUAAACUUAAUUUUCUGAUGAAAGUGGCAAAAUACAGGCCGGCAGUUGUGAAAUAUCCUUAUCUUACCUUAAUGGGAUAUUACGGUGCACAUACAGAUUGGAAGUCUUGUCUCCAUUUGUGCAGUUCACUAAAAUCAAGCAACAUUAUCGUACAAGUAGCAUAACAUAUGAAUGCACACUGCAGAAUCAUGUGAAAGAAGGCUAGUACUGACCUCUCAUGAUGCGGAAUUCAAACAACUCACAAGAAGAAGAUCUGAACCAAAUUCGCCUUAACGGAUAGGAAGUAAGAUCUCCUCUUGUGCAGUUCCACUAAGAUCAAGCAAUCAAGCAACGUUGUCGGUGUGACAUUUUGGUUGAACUGCACAAAACACUCUUAAAACAAAAGUGUUUUGUGCAGUGCAACAAAAGGUCACAAUGGCAAUGAGGUGAAGCAGAUAACCCUGUUUACACAGAGGUGCAAAGGAAACAAUUAGUGGUCAAUAACGGUGGAUGACACAUAAGCCAACAAAAAGAAGCAUCUACCUUAUCUAAAUGGGAAAGAAAGCAAGACAGUAGCAUUUCUCAAACGGUGGCAUUGAUUAAUGUUAACAUAGAGAUUAUAUUAACAAUAAAAUUCGUUAAACAUGUAAUUUGCUUUUAACUGUGGCAUUGCAUCAAUUUUCCAGCGGCAUUAUUAGAGGAUGUUUGUUUACAGGGACAUUUUGGUGUAGGGACUAAAAAAACUCCAUGUCAGUCCCAUCUAAACCAAAGAGGAGGGACUUUUAGGGACUAAAAGUGGGCAUUUGGGACUAAAGAAAGAAGACCCCGAGGGAGUCUUUUUGGGACUUUUUCCAAUAGUUGCCCCUGCCACGCAUCGCACCUUAUCUCUAUUAGUUCAUUACUAGGGGUAACAUGGUCUUUUAGCAUGUCAUUUAAUAACCUCUAGUCCAUGUUUAGUCCCUGGAACCCAGCAGGUAGGGACUAGGGAGUUUUUAACCAAACAGGGCCUUAGUUUAACAACAGCUAAUGAGUUGCACGGGACAGUGGACGCACCAGCACCAUGUGCAUCUACCGAUGUACUGUGGUCAUGCACAGUCUGUUGCAACAAAGAACAAGCAACCAAGGAGCAUAUUUGUGUUGGUCCCAGUUUUGUUAUCUUUAGACGCCUUUCCCUAUGUGAGCGCAGCAAAUCUAGUCCUGCUCAAACUCUACAGCCUUGUCCCUUCCUUUCCUUUUUGAACUAGUACUUUCGCCCCUUCCUUUCCUUUUUGAACUAGUACUUUCGCCCCUUCCUUUCCUCUUUGAACCACGUCCUAGAUUUAUGCGAUACAACUUUCGCCACUACUUUCCCCCAUUCCUUUCCUCUUUGAACCACGUCCUAGAUUAAUGCUAUACAACUUUCCCCCUUCAUUUCUCUUUGAACCACGUCCCAGAUUCAUGCUAUAUACAACUUUUCCCACUACUUUCCCCCACUCCUUUCCUCUUUGAACCAUGUCCUAGAUUCAUGGUAUACAUGCAGCUAGAGCAAUGCAUGUGGAGUAAGUAAAUUAUACCUUAAGGUUCUUGGGGCGUGGUUCGGUGGGCGAUGGGACGCCGGCGAAGAAGAAGGGGUCGGAGGCCCUCCCGCGCCGCCGCUGGGUGGAAAGUGAACAGCUGCACCGGUAGUCCCUCGCUGAUGGCGACAACGUUAAGCCUCCUUCCCUUCCCGGCAAACGGAUCCUGCCGGCUCCUUGAGCAGCAGUGAGGGGAGAGAGAGACCAACAAAGUCUUGUUUAGAUUUGGAGAGGGCGAGAGAGUGUGAAGAGAGCAACUACAAGCGCCGAGGCUCUAGCGGGAGAGGGCGAGAGAGUGAGCGAACAGGCUAACCAGCUACACAACCCUCCCAUUAUGUUCAACGAGAGGGAAAUAACCUUUUAUACAUUCCUGCAUUCAUGUGACAAGCAUGCCGUGUUUUUUUUGUGUGUGGGAGUCAUUGGGAAUUCAAUCAUAAUCGUGUCAUGUGGCUUUGGUGGUAAGACUAUCCACAAUGGUGCAGAAAUAAUGCGGCCUUAGUCACCUUACCUCUCUCCAUGUAGUACGUUGGGUCCCACCAGUCAGAGGGUGAAACAAACAAAUUAAUAAGAAAAAUUAAAAGCGCCAGCGGUGUAUCUUACCUCACACAUCUCGCUACUGCUCGGGAACACUGUCCAAUUGAUCCCUUUGUUCGCUCACGUACUAUUUUAAGUGAAUCCUUAUUAUAACAUGCACACAAAUUUUGGCCACUUGUAUUCGACUUAAGUCAGUGUGCCACCGUAUCUCGUAUACUUACUACUCCCUCCGUCUAGGUGUAAUAAGUCACGUUAGAAGGUGCAACGGGACCAAGGUGCGUGCGUGUGCGUGUGUGUGUGUGUGUGUGUGUGUGUGUUUAACACCAUGUGUGUGUUAGAGAGAGCGACAGAUCGACCUACUCCUACAGAGAGAUGUUGUGUAGUGUACGAUUUUAGCCACGAGAGUUGGUGCAUCCUCUCUAUCGGUGUCAAAACCGGCGGAUCUCGGGUAGGGGGUCCCAAACUGUGCGUCAAGGCCAGAUGGUAAUAGGAGACAAGGGACAUGAUGUUUUUACCCAGGUUCGGGCCCUCUCGAUGGAGGUAAUACCCUACUCCUGCUUGAUUAAUAUUGAUGAUAUGGGUAGUACAAGAGUAGAUCUACCACGAGAUCAAGGAGGCUAAACCCUAGAAGCUAGCCUAUGGUAUGAUUGUUGUAUAUGGAGUUGAUGUCCUACGGACUACAACCCUCCGGUUUAUAUAGACACCGGAUAGGGUUAGGGUUACACAGAGUCGGUUACAAUGGUAGGAGAUCUUGAAUAUCCGCAUCGCCAAGCUUGCCUUCCACGCCAAGGAAAGUCCCAUCUGGACACGGGACGAAGUCUUCAAUCUUGUAUCUUCAUAGUCCUGGAGUCCGGUUGAAGGUAAAGUCCGGGUACCCGAACACCCCCUAAUCCAGGACUCCCUCAGUAGCCCCUGAACCAGGCUUCAAUGACGACGAGUCCGGCGCGCAGAUUGUCUUUGGCAUUGCAAGGCGGGUUCCUCCUCCAAGUCCUUCAUAGAAGGUUGUAAACACCAAGAGUAGUGUCCGGCCCUGCGAAAUAAGUUUCCACAUAUUGCCAUAGAGAGAAUAAUGUUAACACAAAUCAAAUCUGCUGACGUGUUCCGCAGUGUGCCAUCACACUACGGCCAAGUCCUUUACUCGAAUUGUUUUUACUUUUCCACCUCAGCACGUUUUGCGAGGUGGUUUCCUUGGCACGUCUUGUCUAAGCAGAGAUCGUGUACCCCCUUUUAUGGGAUUCUCAUCAAUACGGACGUGGGUAACCCAACUGCGGCAUUUAUCACGGUGCUUGGGAGGCAAGCGAGUUUUACCAGGCUGGUGGGGAUGCACAACCGCAUCCGCCCAUAUAAGGGGAUAAGGAUCCACCUUUUUACCUAUGCCUUCUUCCUCCUUUGCCUACCCAUCUCCUGCGCACUCGAGCUCCAGCGCCCAAGCCCGCACUUCCCACCUCCACCUUCUCCAGCAAUGUCCGGAGCAGGAGGCAAGUGGAUGGUCUCCUCCGCCACGAAGGGCCAAGUCAAGAAGCUAAGGAAGGCCGGAUACCUGUCUAAGGACAUCGCGCACCGGCUUCCCGAAAAGGGGCAGCUUCUCCCCACCCCAAGGCCCCAUGAGAGGGUAGUAUUUCUUCCCCACUUCCUCCGCGGACUGGGUUUUCCACUCCACCCAUUUGUCCGGGGGCUCAUGUUCUACUACGGCCUAGAUUUCCACGAUCUGGCCCCGAACUUCAUCCUCAACAUCUCGGCGUUUAUCGUCGUGUGCGAGGCUUUCCUCUGUGUCCGCCCUCAUUUCGGCCUCUGGCUCAAGACCUUCAACGUCAAGCCCAAGGUGGUGCGUGGCAGCCAGGCGGAGUGCGGAGGCGCCAUGGCGGGCAAGAUGGCCAACGUCCUAUGGUUCGAGGGCUCUUUUGUGGAGACCCUAAAGGGGUGGCAAUCCGGAUGGUUUUACAUCACCGAGCCACGUGAUCCGAAAUGGACCGCAGCCCCCGAGUUCCGAUCCGGACCCCCCACGCGGCUUAUGUCCUGGAAAGAGACGGGCAUGUCGUGGGGUGACGAAAAAGAGGUGACCGGAUUGCAAACAUGCAUCCAGUCCCUAGUAAACAAGCCAAUCCGGCUUGUUAAUGUAAUCCAGGUUAUGCUCGUCCGCCGGAUCCUCCCGUGCCAACAACGGGAUUUUAAUCUGUGGGAGUUCGAUCCGGCGCAGCACCAAACCCUUAGCAGGCUCUUCGACACGACGUAUGAAGAUGCCUAGAAGGUGCUAUUCAAGGGCGCCGAGGCUCCCGCAUCCGCUUCCGAGGACCGCGGAUAUAGCUCGCAGCGUCACGCUAGCGAGGUAAGCUAUCUUCACCUUUUACAGGAUGUUAAGCUUUUUUCAUAGUUUGACUCUAUGCGGGAUCUAAACUCCCUUACCUUUGACAGGCUUGGCGGGCGAUAUCCGGACCGAUUAACUGUCCGGCUCCGCUGCCCGAAGACCCAGCCCCAGCUCUACUAGUGAAGCUGCUGGUUCCGGCGCCUUAUGUGAUGCCGGUGAAGAAGGCCAAGAAGAACAAGACCACGAGGACUCGAAAGAGUGCCCGUAACAUGGUGGUGUCGGACUCGUCAUCUGACGAGUCCGAGACGCCCUCUUCUCGUGAAAACGAGGAGGAGGAAGAAGAGAACUCUCCCCCCCAGCGGAGGGAGGAGAGGAGAGGAAGGCCGCCCCCACGGGGGAGGCCGAGGGGUCUAGGAAAAGGAAGACCCCACCGCCGGAUUACUCUCCCGACGCUGAAGAGAGUGAAGAGGAGUGGCCAAACAGGGCCAAGCGUCCGGCGAAAUCAUAAGUUCGGAUAUCAGAGUAACUCAUGAUGUUCCUUUGUUGCACAACUUUCCCUAAUGUCGAACGUAAUUAUGCAGCCCGCCCCGGCCGAUUUCAACGAAUCGUCGGGCGGUUCCCUGGACUCAUCGGACGUGAACUCAGUUCCGCCCGCUGUCUUCCCCCGCACUACAGACGAUGCCGAAGUGGCGUCGCGACAAGCUCCGGGGCAGGAGGAGGUGGUCCCGGAGGAGCCGCAAGGCAACCUCCCGGACUCCAGGAGUGAAGGGGAUAAGGCCCCCCAGGGCUCCAAGUCCGGCUUUGUGCCGGACACCGCGCCAGAAUCUUCCACAGUUCCGGACCGCGGUGGGUGAACUCCUUCCAAGAGGAGCAAGCCUUCUGAGCCGGCGGCCUCCGUCCAACCGAAGGUGCCGGACAAUCUGCUGGAGGUGCUUGACGGCGCCUCCAUCGACGAGGGGCACCAUACUAUUAUGAGUACGGUGAUCCAGAAGGUUCGGUCCGCCAAGAGCGGACUGAAUGAAGCUUGCGCUAGCCUUCUAACAGGCUUCGAGGUAAGUAAAAAUAUGUAAAAAUAUUACCGCAUAGACAGUAGCCCCUGAUGCUCUGUUUGGCGUUCGGAAAGAAAAGCCGAAUAGAGGAUCUAUUAAAUAUCACAGGAGUCUAAAAAAAGAGUCAAUAUGCAUAUGCAGGCUUCGCUGCUAUCCACCGCCGCACUGACUGUGGAGGUGGGUGUCCUGAAGCAGGACCUUGAGCAGACCGAGCAAGAGCUCGGCCUUGCCAAGCGGCGGCUCGAGGAGAAAGAAGGUAAGAAAUAACUUACAGGAAGAGUGCCUAUAAAAAGGCGUGAUUGCAAAAAAAAAAAAGUAACAGGAUUGUACUGCUUAUUGUAGGGGCCACGACUGAGGUGGCGACCCUUAAGCAGGCGCUGUCUGAGGCCGAAAAGAAAACAGCCACGGAGCGCUCCGAGCGAGACAGACUUGGGACUCAGGUCGGCGAGGUGCAGCAAGAGCUUUAGGCUCUCAUGAAAAAACAUGAGAGUUUGGAGCUUGAGUCAAAGGCGCAAGCAUCCAAGCUCGCGACGGCCCUUGAGACUGCCAAGUCUGCCAAGGCCGAAGCCCAAAAGGCCCUCCAAGAGUUGGAGGAGAUGAGGAAGAUAGCAGCGGGUAAGGCAUUCUUUAUGCAAAGCAGAAAUAUAAAAGUAAACUACUUGUUACUUACCCGAAUCCGGAGCUCUCCAGGGGCAUUCGCAGAUCUUCCCCGCAGCGUACCCAAUGCCGCCGCAUUCUAUCGAGCUGAAGAUGGCAGCUCGACAUAGAAGGUGUUCUGGUCUCAGUAUUCUGAGGCCGGACACCCUGUGCCCUUGAGCGACCAGCUGAAACAGCUGGUCGAGCUCCAUAAGGCGGCCGAACAAGCCAUGAAGGGCUUCAUAGUUCGGCUGUGGCCCAGAGAGUCCCUGCCUGGGAGCUAUUUCGGGCUGGUGCGGCGGCUGGUUGAGGCCUGUCCGAGGCUCGAGGUCAUCAAGCGCUCCGUCUGCAUCGAAGGUGCCCGUCGGGCCCUUGCCCGUGCAAAGGUGCACUAGGGUAAGCUGGACGGUGAGAAGCUUGUGAAGGACGGGCCGCCGCCGGGGAAGGAGCAUCGCAAGCCCGAGAACUACUACAAGGAUGUUCUUGCAGGUGUCCGCCUUGUGGCGGAUGAAUGUACCAAGGAUGUGAUUUUUGAAUGAACUCGCUCGUGUUUAUCCUGUGCGCUGAAAACUUGUUCAUACGAGCUAAGCAAUGCUUAUUGAAUUUAAAAUAUUACUUUCUGUGUGGCCGUUUAUCAAAAAAUUGAGAAAUGGCCAGUCGUCAGCUUCUGCCCCCAUGCCACUAGUGUUGGGGUGUUCGUGAUAAACCUGAGCGCUCUUUUUCCCAUAGUUGGGUCCUUCGAGGGAGGCGCUCAGCACAACGAACCAGGCAAUCGGACUAUAAUGCUUGAACACUCUAACUUAGCCAUAGAACUCUAUAAUUUUAAAUUUUGGCGAAGCCCCUAGUUCGGAAGACCGAGUUCGGGGCGCUAUCCACGCCUUGGCCGGACAAAACCAGCUCCUCGCUCGAAGUGGCAUAAGUCUUUAGGGACUCGAAAAACCUCUCGAACAGCGACCGGUCUCUUGCCUCAUCAUGACAGUCAGUUUUAGCUUUCUCCACUGAGGUGCUUAACCCAGCUGAACCGGGGCACAAUCGCAGUGGUUCUCCUAGUUCUACCUUAGCCGAUAUAGCGGAACAUAAGGCACCAAAACAUAGGAGCCGGGCAAACCCAACUAUUGACCCAAAUCAUGAUUCGGAGCCGAUGCAUAUAGUGCUAUAAGUUCGGGGUGCCGCACUUGUGAAAGUGUACGGACUUCUUCACACCAUGAUGAGGGGUACUGAAGCCCCUGGCGUGUUUGCCGUACCAUGGUGUACGGGUGCAAUCAUGUCGUUUAAUAAACAUAUAUGUGAAAAGAGGAUGAUGCAAAAAAAUAGACAAAAAGCUAUGCAUUGUUUAUAGAGAGGCUAUUUAUCAAAGCCGAAUGAUACAAAUAGUGCGAUAAGCAAAAGGAUAUUGGACUAUUUAACAUGUCCUGACCAGGGGCAGGCCGCGGAAUUGUAUUCAAAAUAGGUAUAUUGCUCGUAACAGAGACCACCUGGGAGUUCCAUAAUGUGGCAUGGCUUGUCUGCCUCCCUGGAUCUUGCAUCGUUUGUGCGGCAGUCGAAUUGCCGAACAGGUCGUCCGAAGUAUGGAGUCCUGAAAGUAAGAAAAAAUUAAAAAAGAAUCCGACAGCCCCUAGUACAUUUUAAGCCGUAUUUUGGGCGUGCCGUUAUUGUGCCCCUUCCCCUGUGCCCAUGGUAUUUCAAGGGCGUAGUUAUGUACGCGGGGCACUGGUUUCGCUAUGUCGCGAGAGCUGGGGUUGGGGCCGCAUUGCUACGCUUGCUCAGAGCGUGCCAGGCGGUCCUGCUGUGGGUUACUCCGGGCGCGCUUGGCAGUGUCUGGCUUUUUAACGGCCGGACUGGAGAAUUGCCUAAGAAGGCUACUAUGUACUUCUGCUGCGAGAGCCGCCGUGUGCUCCUCCGUACGGAGGGAGCGUUCGGUGUUUCCGUUGACCGUGAUUACUCCUCGAGGGCCUGGCAUCUUGAGCUUGAGAUAUGCGUAGUGCGGCACCGCAUUGAACUUUGCGAAUGCGGUUCAUCCGAGCAGGGCGUGAUAGCCACUGCAAAAUGGGACUAUAUCAAAGAUUAACUCUUCGCUUCAGAAAUUGUCCGGGGAUCCGAAGACCACGUCAAGUGUUACUGAGCCUGUACAGUUGGCUUCUACACCUGGUAUAACGCCUUUAAAGGUCGUUUUUGUGGGCUUAAUCCUUGAGGGAUCUAUGCCCAUUUUCCGCACUAUAUCCUGGUAAAGCAGGUUCAGGCUACUGCCGCCAUCCAUGAGGACUCUUGUGAGAUGAAAUCCGUCGAUGAUCGGGUCGAGAACCAAUGCGGCGAAGCCGCCAUGACGGAUGCUAGUGGGAUGGUCCCUUCGAUCAAAAGUGAUCGGGCAGGAGGACCAUGGGUUGAACUUUGGGGCGACUGGCUCCAUCGCGUAUACAUCCCGUAGCGCACGCUUCCGCUCCCUCUUGGGAAUGUGGGUUGCGUAUAUCAUGUUCACCGCCCGCACUUGUGGGGGAAAGCCCUUCUGUCCAUUGUUGUUCGGCGGCUUGGGCUCCUCCUUGUCAUCGCUGUGCAGCCCCUUGUCUUUGUUUUCGGCUCUUAACUUGCCUGCCUGCUUGAACACCCAACAAUCCCUGUUAGUGUGAUUGGCUGGCCUUUCGGGGGUGCCAUGUAUCUGGCACAAGCGGUCGAGUAUUCGGUCCAAACUGGACGGGCCUUGAGUAUUCUUUUUGAAUGGCUUUUUUCGCUGACCGGAUUUAUAGCCUCUGAAUCCGGCAUUGACUACCGUGUCUUCAUUGUUGUCGAUGCUAACGCGGCAUUUUUGCUUAUUGCGACGUGUCCUACCACUUUUGUCCUUGGUAUCCGAAUUACCAGGGUUCUUUGAUAAGUUGUUACUGCGAGCUAGCCAGUUGUAUUCUCCCGCGCAAAAGCGGGUCAUGAGUGUCGUGAGGGCUGCCAUAGAUUUCGGUUUUUCUUGUCCCAGGUGCCGGGCAAGCCACUCGUCACGGAUGUUAUGCUUGAAGGCUGCUAGGGCCUCUGCGUCCGGACAGUCGACUAUCUGGUUUUUCUUUGUUAGGAACCGUGUCCAGAAUUGCCUGGCCGAUUCCUCUGGCUGCUGAAUUAUGUGGCUUAAGUCGUCGGCAUCCGGCGGUCGCACGUAAGUGCCCGGGAAGUUGUCGAGGAAUGCGGCUUCCAGGUCCUCCCAAGGACCGAUUGAGUCUGCUGGCAAGCUGUUAAGCCAAUGCCGGGCCGGUCCUUUAAGUUUGAGCGGGAGGUAUUUGAUGGCGUGUAGAUCAUCGCCGCGUGCCAUGUGGAUGUGAAGGAGAUAAUCCUCGAUCCAUACCGCCGGAUCUGUUGUUCCAUCAUAUGAUUCGAUGUUUACGGGUUUGAAACCCUCUGGGAUUUUAUGAUCCAUUACUUCAUCCGUGAAGCAUAGCGGGUGUGCGGCGCCUCUGUACUGGGCUAUAUCAUGACGCAGCUCGGAAGAGCUAUGUCUGUUGUGUUCGGCCCGGCCGGAUUUGUUGUAUCCGGAAUGAAGAUCAUCGUCACGUGCCGUAGGGCGCCUGCGCGAUCCGUAGAUCGAUCUUGUUUGUCUUGCCUUAUCCUCCAGUAUGUCUCGCAGGUCUGGCGCAUUUUCUCGUGCCUUAGUUGAGCGGCGUCGGGGCAUGGCUUGAGUGGAGGGCCGAGAGGCCUCUCUAUCGCGGCCGUGAGGUGGCCGGUCUGCCAUGUCGUGCACUGGUGAUGUAGGUGCUUCCUCCUCUGAUCGGGGUAGCGGCUUGCGCUUUGGGUAACUCUUGGAGGGGCAUUCGAGUUCAUACUCUUCGGCCGCAAGGACUUCAGUCCAUCUGUCAGCUAGCAAAUCUUGGUCAGCUCUAAGCUGUUGCUGCUUUUUCUCGAGGCUGCUUGUCGUGGCUAAAAGCCUGCGCUUGAAACGCUCUUGUUCGGCGGGGUCUGAUGGUACGACGAAUUCGUCGUCAUCGAGGCUUGCCUCGUCUUCGGAGGGAGGCAUAUAGUUAUCAUCCUAGACCUCUCGGUCUGCCGCUCUCUCAUGAGGGCUGGCUUCUCCAUCUUCUUGUGCCGAAUCUUGAUGGGGUGGGUGUUCUUCGGCGCUAUCCGGGGUAGUAUUGUCUCCCGUGCCGGAAUCACCGUUUUUGCUUUGGCGGGAUUUAGAGCGGCGCCGCUGACGCCGGCGCUUUGGCUGUUUCUUGGAGGUGUCAUCCCCCGCUAUUCCAUCGCCAUCUCCAUCUUUUGGAGUAUCCACCAUAUAUAUGUCAUAUGACGAGGUGGCCUUCCAGCGCCCUACAGGUGCUGGUUCCUGUUCAUCUCCUACAUCGUCGUCCAUACCGUCGAUGUCUUCGGAGCCGAAGUCAAGCAUGUCGGUUAAAUCGUCGACAGUGGCUACAAAGUGGGUGGUGGGUGGGUUUUGAACUUCUUCAUCGUCCGUAUCCCAUCCCCGCUGACCGUAAUCCAGCCAGGGCUCUCCUGAUAAAGAGAGAGACUUGAGAGAAUUCAGGAUGUCGCCAAAAGGCGAGUGCUGAAAGAUGUCCGCGGCGGUGAACUCCAUUAUCGGCGCCCAAUCAGAUUUGAUUGGCAGGGGCGUGGGGGGUUCGGAGUGCGGGAAGGAGUCCGGAUCCUUGGAGUCACGGGUCAUGCAGAGUGCAGGGCUGGCGUUCGGCUCGAUCGCCUUUGAGAUCGCCGCCCCCGAGGUGACAUCCAACCGCUCAUCCUCGAUUGGCACAAUAGGCUCCGAAUUAGGGGUCGGAACCGGUGCGUGUGCGGCCUCCAGGACACUGUCGGAGGCAGAGCUAGAUCAUGCCCCUCGGGAUAGUGCGACGCGCUUGGUCGUGGCUCGAACCCGUCGAAGAUCAAGUCUCCGCGGAUGUCAGCCGUGUAGUUUAAGCUUCCAAACCUGACAUGAUGGCCAGGGGCGUAGCUUUCGAUCUGCUCCAGGUAGUCAAGCGAAUUGGCCCGCAGUGCGAAGCCGCCGAAGACGAAGAUCUGUCCGGGCAGAAAAGUCUCACCCUGGACCUCAUCGUUGUUGAUGAUCAAGGGAGCCAUCGGGCCUAAAGGUGACGACACAGAGGAACUCUCAAUGAAAGCACCAAUGUCGGUGUCAAAACCGGCGGAUCUCGGGGUCACGAACUGUGCGUCAAGGCCGGAUGGUAACAUGAGACAAGGGACACGAUGUUUUACCCAGGUUCGGGCCCUCUCGAUGGAGGUAAUACCCUACUCUUGCUUGAUUAAUAUUGAUGAUAUGGGUAGUACAAGAGUAGAUCUACCACGAGAUCAAGGAGGCUAAACCCUAGAAGCUAGCCUAUGGUAUGAUUGUUGUAUAUGGAGUUGAUGUCCUACGGACUACAACCCUCCGGUUUAUAUAGACACCGAAUAGGGUUAGGGUUACACAGAGUCGGUUACAAUGGUAGGAGAUCUUGAAUAUCCGCAUCGCCAAGCUUGCCUUCCACGCCAAGGAAAGUCCCAUCCGGACACGGGACAAAGUCUUCAAUCUUGUAUCUUUAUAGUCCUGGAGUCCGGCUGAAGGUAAAGUCCGGCUACCCGAACACCCCCUAAUCUAGGACUCCCUCACUCUCGUUUCCGGGCGUGUCCGGUAGGGACAUGCGGACAGCUGCCACGCCCGCUCCUGACCAGCCUGGCCCACCCAAAGCCCCUCCAUCGCCCGCGCGUGCUUCCCGCCCGAAACGGUCAGCGCCUCUCCAAAGAAUCGAUGCCGCAUUCAUGCUCGGGCAGAGCGGACGCGACCUCUCACUGGCGCAAGAGUGAUGGUUGCUUCGUCCGUCCAACUUACUGCUGGGUCUAUGUGAUUUGACGGCUCAUUGGUCUUUAUUACUGAGGUGGUAGGACUGCUGGAUGUCCCACGCUUUCUGCGAAAGGAGGUAUACUACUACUACUACUAGAUUAUAAUUUUCUCCAUUCUUACAGCGGAGGCAUGCAAGAGCAGUGAAAACACACAGGCUCAGUGAUUACAUGGCCCACCUCACACUACUAUCACCGUGCGACACCUAACUCUUUACAUAGUACUCCCUCUGUUCCUAAAUAUUACUAGAUGAGUCCCCGCGCGUUGGCGGGGAAUAACGGUAUAUCUCUCUGUGCAAAAUUAUUGAUUUCAUAGAACAAAAAAAACUCUAUAAUCGCAUGACAAAUCUGGUAGCCAAACUAAAUAAACUCCCAUCAUCAUUUACAUCAUCCCACGCAAGGAAAAAAGAUCAGCCAACUCCUGAACUCCUACUGCAUAAUGGGAUUAUAUUUUUCUUUUUGACAUGUUAAUGGGACUUAAAAGCUCACUUACAUGCAUGCUACCGGUGCAUGCUUGCAUGCAGACAUGUUGAUGUGAUUUAAAACCCACUCACAUGCAUGUGGCACGGUAUUUUUGCAUGCUUGCAUGUGGCUUAGUGCUGAGCCUCUCAACGUCAAGAUCAGACGGCUAUUAUGGACUGAUUUACUUCAUCUAGCGGCUACAUCAAUUUUGAUGACGUGGCUCAAGGAGAUGAUAGAGAAUUCCUAGUAGUGGGGGCUAGCUAUUACUAGUAGAUAUAAGUCUUUGUAGAGAUUCCACUACAUACGGAACAAAAUGAAUGAAUCUACACUUAAAAUGCAUCUAUAUACAUCCGCAUGUGGUUCAUGGUGAAAUCUCUACAAAGACUUAUAUUUAGGAACAGAGGAAGUACUAGUAUAGUACGUACUAUAAUUUAUCAGCGAGAUAAAUUUGUACAAUGCUAUGAAGCUUCCAGCUUCUGUUACAUGUAUCUUGCGUCCAAGGUUGCCCGUUGCAACAUUUCAUCAAAUACAAAGGAGACUAACAUGCAUGCUAUUGCAUCUCAAUGAUUGACAGAUCAUAGCAAAUAUGUACUCCCUCUGUUCCAAAAUAAGUUUCUCUACUUUGUGCAAACUUUAGUACAAAGUUGUACUACUACUAAAGUUGACACUUAUUUUGGAACAGAGGCAGCUAAAGAAAAAAAUGAUCCAUGUAGUCCCUAGCCCUUGAACCGUGAACCCUGACCAGGCAACGUUCGAGCUUCCUAAUAAAUGAAGUUUGCAACCUUUUGACCAUCGGAUCAUUUUGUGCAGUUUCACCAAAAUCGAGAUGAGCAUCCCUGUGGCAAAGAAAUUGAACAAGCGUGAUUAGAAUAAGAUUACUGGGACUAGUUGAUGAGACAUAAACUCAUCACAAAUACAGUACGUAGAAGCCAGUAGAGGUAUGUGCGGGGCAAAGAAGUAGAGAAAUAUCCACAGGGAGUGAUGUGGGCAGCUGGAGCAGUGGUGCAAGCCGGCUAUAAAGGGAGUUGUACCUGAGGGACGUAGCUCAACCUUGAGGAGGGCGGCGGGAGGCAGCAACUACCCACGUCACGGCAGUGAGCAAGGGACGAAGGCAACCUCACCGGCUUUGUGAGAGAGAACGGCGGGGACCCCUGAUCGGGACGUGCCGAUAGUGGUUUUUCGCCGUCAGUGACGGCCACUGCAUCUACACUAAGCAUCCACCCCUUCCCCAAGCGGACGUGAUCCGCCGGGAUGUUAGAGAUGUGGCCACAGUCGUUUUGUGCGAGAGAGUGUGAAGAGAGCAACCCCAGCAAGCAACCAUGUAGGCUGGCCCGUCCUGACUAUGUACUCCUUUUCUCUCCAUAUGAACCUACCAUAUUGCGUACGUGCCACUGAAGAAGAAAAACUUUAUUUAUAAAUGGCGCGGCACCUACUACUCGUUCUCCUAUAACCUUGUGCUUGGCAUCUCCAAAAUAUUGACCUUGCGAUUGGCUCUUCGCCUCUUCAGGAAGUCGAGCAAUAAUGGUAGUGCAGUAUAUAUCGUUCUGGCUAUAUGAGACCGAAUGAAUUGCUGCACCUCCACCACGUGGGCGAGGGUCGAGGGGCGAGGGAGAGUGCUACAUACGGAGCAAAAUGAGUGAAUCUACACUCUAAAAUACGUCUAUAUACAUCAGUGUUUGGAGUAUGUACUAGUAGUUCAUAUUGAAAUCUACUAAAGGACAUAUAUAUUCCAAACAAUAUGAUAUAAUCUCUAUAACCAAGGUAGUAGGGACGAGGAGUAAAUGAAGGGAGUAGUAAAUUUUUCUCCUCGUCCUGCGAGCCACCGUGCGCAUGGGCGAGGGAGCGGGCGUAAGGCGUAGUAAGCAAGCUUCACCUCAUCCUGCGAGCCACCGCGCCCGUGGGCGGGGGAGACAGCGUACUAAGGAAGCUUCUCCUCGUUCUGCGAGUUGACGGGACACAUCAAAAGUACUCCAGUGUAUAGAGCCUUGCCUCUAAGGUAGGCCCCACAUGGUUUGCCUCUUUUUUUAACAAAACACGUCAAGUCGUAAUUUGUUUGUUCACCCGUGGUAGACGAUCCUCCCUCCACCAAGUGGACAACCAGUACACGUGCCAAAUUACCAUGUGGGCUGCCUUUUUCGUACAGAAAUGAGCUCCACCGUGUACCCGCGCGGGUGUGGUUGGGAAAGAGACGGGAGUAUGUGCGCCGUGCAUGCACCUCUUCUCUUUGUGCAUGUUCCCCACCUACGUGGGUGUGUGUGAGAGAUACAAACUGCGUUCGUGAGUGUUUUUUGUUUUGGGGUGGGGGUGGGGUGGGGGUUGAUUUCGUGAAUUAUUUGUGGGAAUAUGUGUCGAUGACAUCUCAAACAAAAUUUUGCAUGCAAUGUGUGUGAAAUGGAGGCCUAUCCAUAUCAUACAUAGAGGGUCGGGCAAUCCACGAGAAGAGAGGGAGGGGUCAUAGCUAUCGAUAGAGUCGAAGAGAGGAUCAAGUGGGUGGGUGCGAGAUCGAUGAAGAGAGCCAUCGAAGUUGUGUGUGUGUACAAGUCAAAGAUAUAGGGCGACUGGCCUACCGGAAUGUUAGAGGGCACACGUCAAGUUUGUGUGUGGCAGGNNNNNNNNNNNNNNNNNNNNNNNNNNNNNNNNNNNNNNNNNNNNNNNNNNNNNNNNNNNNNNNNNNNNNNNNNNNNNNNNNNNNNNNNNNNNNNNNNNNNNNNNNNNNNNNNNNNNNNNNNNNNNNNNNNNNNNNNNNNNNAGAAGGAGAGACCCAGCUAUGUCUUGAGGGAGAUCGGUUGACAUCCAUACAUAACUGAAGGAUGGGAAAUAUGAUGGGAGAGAGAUAGAGGAGAGAGAGAGGGAGGGAGAGGGAGGGAGAGGGGUAGAGUGCUGGAUGGGUGAUGGAGUUGCUUCUUGAAGAUGGUGGGAGAGGCCUACUAGACAAGCUGAGGGUGGAACUGCAAUGUUAUCAAUAAGAGUGAGGAUGUGUUUCUGUGUGUGCCUGUGCGUGAUGGAUCUGUCGGGACGCAUCCAUGGAUGAUGAAGGGGAACCAUGUGUUUGGUAAGCAAACCUAACUAGAUCGGUAGAUCAAUUGUUGUUUGUCGGAGGAAGGGAGAGACACAACUAAUGAGGUAGAUCGAUUGACGUGUGGGUAAAAACGAGUUAUAAGGACCUAGCUAGCUAUAUGUAUAGCGAGAGAUCGGUCGGUGUACGUCCAUUUGUUAGAGGCUAAUAAGGCCCAGCAAGACGGAUAGACAAAGAGAAUGGAGCUAGGAGGUGGUGCGAGAGGCCCAACUACUAGCUAGAUAGGGGAGGAGUGUGUGGUUGUGAGAGAGCGAUGAAAAUAGGGGCGAGAGUUUACACGUGUGUCUGACCGUAUGAGAGACACGAGGCAAGGACACAUAAAGGAGGAGAUUGAAGGUGUGUUUGUAUGUUGUAGGCAGGCAUCGCUGGAGAGGUUUAUCGAUCGGUGUGUGUCGGAAAGGAGUUGUGGAGCUCUGGGAGAACGACCUAAAGAAAAAAAUGAAUGUGCCCGGUGGGUAGAAUGCCGAGGGAGGGGAGGGCGAGGAGGGCGUGUGCAUGCACGAGAGAAAGUUAGUGGUAGCUACAAAGGUUAGAGGAUUGUGUGGGUGUAAGAGACUAACAAAGAUCAUAAUUUGAUAUGAAAGUGGAUUCAUAUAUUUGAAUAGGAGAUCAUAGUGUUUUAAACAUUGCAUGCAUGAAUAUAGCGGCCAUACACGUGUUGUGCACAUGUUAUACCAUAAUGUGAUAAUGCAUGGUGUUUGCAACUCACAGCUAAAUGCCGAACAAUCUAAACCAUACUAUACAUCAAACAAUCUCACAUUUUAUUUGAAUUUGUGAUAAUGUGUGGCGUUUGCAGCUUACAACUAAAUAUCGAACAAUCUAAACAAUACUAUAUAUCGAACAUUCUCACAUUUUAUUUGAAUUUGCGGUAAUGUGUGGUGUUUGCAACUCACAUCUAAAUACUUGUAGGUGUAUGGGGCGGGGCACCAUACAUAAUGUGAUAAACACAUUAUACAUAUGAGACAUGGUUUAGAUUAUGAAGAUCUAGCUAGAGCUAGAAAUGUAAUGUGAUUUGAAAUCAAAAUAAAGUGGAUUCAAAAAAUCUAGUUCGAGUUCAUAUAGUACACAUAGUUCAUAUGUAACUCGAGACUAAUCAUGUGGUGUGGUGUGAAGAUAAUACACAAACGAUGGUUUAACUUGACAAUAAUGAUGAUUGUAGAUCUUAUUAAAACAGAGAAACGAAUUCAAAUGCUUUGACUUCACAACAAUCAUUACUGUAGAUCUUAUUCAAAUAGAGAAACGAAUUCAAAUUUAGUUCAUAUUGAAGCGGUAGUAUAUACGUUUGGAAUGCACUAAAACGUUCAUUUGAGUAGUAGGUUGCAUGCAUUAUACACGUAGCAAAAUAUUUUAAUUGAACAUAACAUGAAUUCAAAGUUUUGAAUGACAUUUGUAGGGCGCAUUGAUUUGGUACAGUACACGUUAGGCUUGUCCGGGAAUUUCAACCUGCGCCUUGUUAGCCCAAAAUAUUUAAGAUAUAUCUUUGUCUCGUUGUGCUCCGACAACUCCCUCCAUCUCAACUCGCGCCUUGCUACUCCGAAAUUACAACGCGCGCGAAAACUCCCACCUCCUAUGAAAUUCCGACACACGAAAUGCCCGUGGUACCCCUGAACCGAAAGAACCGCCUCAAAUCGGUGGGGGUACUUUCGUAACUUACCCCACAUUUCGGACAAGCGUGUCUCUAAGCCAUGGUUCCCCACUGCCAUCCCAUCCUCCCACCCAUUCGUACACCGAGGCCGCGAAAACCCAUGACGAAACCCCACACCCUGCUCCGUCCGCCACCCAGGCGGAGCCUCUCCCCCGACGACGUCGUCCACAGCAACACCUCGACGUCCCUCAUCCACCGUACCGGAUGAGGAUCCGUCGUCGAUCUCAUCGUCCUGCCGGUUCAGCCACACCGUCCUCCACCUCCAAGGAGCUGCCCCGACGUUCCCCUCGUCUUUUGCGCCACCUCCAUUCCCACACCGCCCUCUUCACCUGCACCAUCGGAAGAGCAUCAUCAUCACCGUUUCCUCGAAUGAAGUUGCGGCCUAAUCGGCGCCACCAAAGAGGUUGUACACUAAUCGCCGCAUUUUCUUCUUGAUUCGAUCUCACGGUGCUGCCGGCGCUCGGUCCCGAGCCGACACGGCGCGGCUCCAUCCACGGCGGCGUCGCCGGCCACUUCCUCCACGGCGUCGCUCCCUCGGCGGUGACGUCCACAUCAGUAGGACCUGCUGAUGCUUUAGCUCUCGCUCGCGCUGCUGCUCUGCUCUUGCUCUCGGUCCCCUGCCUGGUCUGCUCUUGCUAUUGCUCUUGCUCGCGCUGCUACUCUCGCUCUUGCUUGCGAUGCUGCUCCGAUUUAGCUACACUUCACUCCGAUGCCGCCGGGUGAAGGAAGAACCAGCCGCAGCGGGGAGGGGGGCUUGCCGGAGAGGUACCCCACUAUCUAUCUUAGGGUUCAGGAUGGGGGCGGUGGUCGCUGGCGCUGGCGGGGCGUUGGCGGGGCGGUGGCGUGGGGAUCACCGGAGAAAAAGCUCGGCACGGGGGGGGGGGCCUAGAGGGAUGGCCGGGGCGACGGCGGACCGGCGGUGGGGAGUGUUUUCGGGGCGGGCGGGGCGGCGCACCAUGGGCAUCGGGGGGCUGCUGUUUGGCCGGCUCAGGGGGGUGGAGGUUGAAGAUGAACCGUAGGCCCUUGAUUUCGUAUCCAACGGCUGCAAAAUCGACUGACCAGAGAUGAAAAAGUCAGUCGACCGACGUGUAGCCUCACCUUGCUAGUGCGUCCAGUUUCGACAGCAAAAUUCAGUUUCGACAGUUAAGUUUAGUUUUGACAGUUAAGUUUAGUUUCGACAGUUAAAUUCAGUUUCGACAGUUAAGUUCAGAGAUGAGCGGCUGAUGUAUUUUACAUCUAGCACUUUGUGGUUAUGUAUUUUAUGUCAUGUAUUGGAGAUGCUAUUAGAAUUCCACUCAGGUUAACGUUGUUCAUUGUCUCUCUUUGCUUCAGCCUCGGCGUCGUACAACUCACCGGAGCUGCUCCAACGACGAAACCCUCCAUCACAGUGCAGCAGUACCUCGGGCUCCAUCUCCAAACGCCUAAGAUCUUCUUCCCCUCCUCCGACAGCCAAGUCAGCCGGAGCAUCCUCACCGGCCAACCCAAUCAUGCUGAGAUCGACAUGGCUUCGCCAAAGAGGUUGUACACUUGUUGCAUCUCUUUUUUACUCUACAUGUUAUAUAUAUUGUCCACUGAGCACACGAAUUUGUUCCUUUAGUGUCUCCUUGAAAGAAAAAAUGUAGGAAUUUUAAUUUUCACUUGUCCUCCUUUUCAAAUUCCUAUUCAUGAAGCACAAGACUAAGAGAUAGUAGCAUAAUAGCAUUAUAACCGUACAUUUUCUUGUGGUUUGACUUAAUCUCACCAUGCUUCUUUGCAUCAUGUGAUCUUCCAAUUGUUGUGAAUCAAACACCCAGAUUGGCAGAAAUAUUGUGUUCUUAAAUUCUCUGUUUUGCACGUGCAUUCCUAUCCUAUUCCUGUCUAUUUCCUAUCCCUGCAUUGUUGUAAUCCUCCAAUUCAAACGAGCCCUUACAGAAUUACUUCUCUUACAUAUAGUUGUCAAAGAAAACCUUGCGUGGUUUGUCCCGCUCCUGUUGCACCGUCGUCCACCCCAGCUCAGCUGCUCCAACGAUAGAAGGGUCCAGCACAGCAGGGAUCCGACCUCCAGACUGUCUUUCGCCGCCUCAAAUCUUCUUCCCCGCCACUGGCAGCCAUGAAAACUGCACUACCAUCAUCAACCGAGCAGAUGACCUCGAGGACUACACGGGUCCGCAAUAGAGGUCGCACUCUUUCGUGUCUGCUUACGUUAUGCAUCGCUUAAUAUUACAUGCUACUUUAUCGUCCUAUUCACCGAUUAGACUCUGAGUCAGCUCCAAACUAAUGGUAAAACUUGAGUUUUUAAAUGGUUGUGGGGUACAUAUCGGGGCCGCUAUCAAUAGUAUCUAUCUACUAUCUGGUUAAUAUCCGGUGUCUACUACGAGUUUAAUGUUGGGUGGGAAACAAACAGUAAAGAAGCCAUUAUCUGUAUUUUUUAACUGAAGCCAUUAUCUGCCUGCUAUUAUUGGUUUUGGGUCUAUCCACAGGUUGCUACCAUCACUCUGGAUUUCUGCAUGCACUCCUUACAUAAUCUCACUAUGUUUUAUUCCUAUGCAUGAUAGAUAUUGUAAACAAUGGAACUGAACAUGUAGAGCAAAAGAGACGAGCCUUGUGUGGCAAUAAAAUUUCAUGCAGAUGUCGCUCCAUGGUAGGCGCAAAGGCAGCCCCCCUCCACGCAUUUCGGAUUGUAAUCGAGAGGAAGAUAUCUGUUCUGAGGGGGAUUCAAAAGAAGAAGAUAACUCCUAUUUACCCCCUGAGGUCUUCGCUCUAACUUGGCAUGCUGAUGUUUGUUAUAUCAUGCAUAUGGUGUCUUGCAUUGCUUACCUUAUACAUCAAAUAUGUCAUCUACUUAGUUUAGACAUCCUUUGUGCGAAUGCCAUCUGUUUAGUUUAUUCAUCGUUUAUGUGAAUUAUGCAACGCCACCUUGUUUAGCCAGGCAUCAUAUAUGUGAAUUUUGCAAUGCCAUCCUACUUAGCCAGUCAUCUUAUAUGUAAAUUAUAUCAGGCCAUCCUUUUUUUCAUUACAUAUUACAUUUGUCAACAAUGUUAUUACAUUCAACUGCUCUUCGUGUGCAUCAGCCAUUUGACACGGUGAUGGCAAAUUCUGGAGUGAAAACAAGGUCUUCAGAGCAGACUACGCUAUCUGACGAAGCGCAUAUCUCGCUGGUUAUGGAUAGCUCCUCAGAGGAGGAUUCAGAGACAGGUGACCAGUCCUAUCCCCCCCUGAGGUGUAUGCUCUAACUUGGCAGGGUUAUGUUGCUCAUAUCGUGCGUAUGGUGUCUCGCAUUGCUAUGUCAUUUGAUUAGUUUAGACAUGCUUUGUGUGAAUGCCACCUGUUCAGUGUCUAAUUACCAUAUAUGUGAAUUAUGCAUUGCCAUCUUGUUGCAAGACAUUAUAUAUGUGAAUUAUACAAUGCUAUCUUGUUGCAAAGGCAUUAUAUAUGUGAAUUAUGCAAUGCCAUGCUGUUUAGCCAAUCAUCAUGUAUGUGAAUUAUAUCAUGCUAUCAUUUUUUGUAUUACGUGUUCCAUUUGGCGACAACGUUUGUAUAUUCAACUACUCUUCCUGUGCAUCAGCCAUUUGAAGCGGUGAUGGAAGUAUCUGGAAUGAAAACAAGGUAUUCAGAGCAGACAAUGCUACCUGCUGAAGCAGACAUCUUGCUGGUUACAGAGAGCUCCUUAGAGGAGGAUUCAGAGACUGAUGACCAGUCCUAUUUUCCCCCUGAGGUCUAUGCUCAAACUUGGCAGGGUUAUAUUACCCAUGUCAUGCAUGUUGUCUUGCAUUGCUUAGUUUUUACAUCAUAUAUGGAUUGCCAUCUACUUACUUGCUUACUAUAUAAAUCAUACAUUUGAAUUAUAUCAUGUCAUCAUGUUUACAUAGUACAUACACAUCAUCUAUCUAAAUUAUGGCAUGGCAACCCAUUUAAUAAAGACAUCAUAUAGUUAUAUCAUCUCAUCCUGUUUAGUGUUUACAAUCAUCAUAUUUUGAAUUAUGGCAUUCUAUCCGUGAGUGUAUGUGAAUUAUGGCAUGCCAACCUAUUUAAUAAACACAUUAUAUAGUUAUGUCAUGUCAUCAUGUUUACAUAGUCUCAUAUUUUGAACUAUGUCUUUCCAUCUUUUUUAGUUAGCCAUCAUAAUGUGAAAUUGUGUCAUGCUAUCCUGUUUAGUUAGCCAUCGUAUAUGUGAAAUUGUGUCAUGGUAUCCUGUUUGGUUAGACAACAUAAAUAUGAAUUAUUUCAUGCCCUCUUUUAUUCCCCACUAUCCAUUGCACCUAUCUAUCAUACAAUGUCUAUACUUUCAAUUACUUUUCUUGUUUAUCAGCCAUUUGAAUUGGAGAGCGUGAUGGCAGUAUCUAAGGGAGUAACAACACGGUCUUCAGAAAAGAUAGUGCUACUAGUUGAUGCAGAUAGAACCACGGUUGUACUUGCCCAAGGACCAGAUCCACCACACAUAACCCAGACUCUCGCAGAUUGUACCCCUACCUAGUUGGACAGAGAACCAGCUACACCCCUUCUAACCCCAACCCUGGCAGAUAGUAACCCAGUUCCAGUUGACACAGCACCGUCUCCACCACAAAGCACCCAAACACGAGCAGUUAGUAAGGGAACUGCAAUGCCCAAAGCACGAGGAUCACCACUCCGAAUCCCAACUCAACGCUUAAAGGAGAAGAAGAUUUGUUCUCAGGUCAGGUUCUGUAGCUAUGGUUCAUACUCCUUUGCUCUUGCAUGACUGUAUUUACUCAUACCAACUAUUUUCAAAUUUGAAGGAUGGAAUUGAAACUCCAAUGGUGCAACAGGUAUGUUUUAAACCUGUUUCUUUAACCGGUUUGCUGUUGUAACCUACUCUAUGUUGAUUUUAGUUUCAAUUGAAUACACAAUUAUGUUCUCAUGUCAUGCACAUUACAAGUGUUUUUAUUUCUCUAUAGUUACCCACACUUAUAUUCUGUCUAUUCUGCUUUGUCUUGAACAAAUAUUAUUUGAACUGUGUCUCUAUCUUGAUUUGGCAACAAAAACUAGAAUGGUAUAGACCAUAAAGUGACCAUGGUACAUAGAUAUAUGUUUGUUUCAUGUUGUUAUCCUGUCCACUUUACUACUGAACUCAUUUACCAAAAUGAGUUUCAUAUACAACAUGGUAAACAUGUGAUGUGUCUGCUUGUUUCUCUUUUAGAAUACGGACAAAAUAUUGGAGAACAGUACCGCGUUAUCCAAUGGAAAAGGAAGUAAUGCAUAUAAGGUUCAAGAUAGUGAGACAUCCCUGUUGGUCUCCAAGAAAGCUGAUAAAAACUAUCUUGACGACAGUGAGGGAACCCGAAAGUCCUGUCUUGAUGUAGUGUUCGAGUUACUGGUCACUACUGCUGGCACAAGCUCUUCAAACUCGCUGCCUGAAUCAGUUCGUCUUCUUGAGUCUGAACUUCAAGUUGAAAGACAUCGAUCAGAUGUGCUGCGACAGGAAGCUGAAGGACUGAGGAAGUCUCUGCAGAAUUCAGAUGCAUAUUUUCUGGUGCAACAGCAAGCGCUGGAGGAUUUAAGCGCCAAAUAAGAGAAAGUUAAUAAGCUUGCUAAGCAUCUUGCCAGCAUUAUGGGUACCCAGGAUAUUGUUUCUUGAGAUCUUCUGAAGUGGUUUGAGUUCUGGAUUUGUUUUGCUGCGGCGUUUAUUUGCGCUGGUCGUCAACUUUGACAACCAGUGUAUAUGAUAUGCUGCUUUGUUCCCUAUAUUUACACUGGUGGCGAACUUUGAUUCCCAGUGGAUGUAAUAUGUGUAAUAGCCGUGAUAGCCUAGCAUUAGUUGCUUGCUUAUUUAUUUCCUUGUUGUCUUGUUUAUUUGUUUGCUUGUAGUCAUUGCAGUUCUUUUUCCGCGGUUAGCUAGUGGCUGCAAUAACCUAUUUUUUUAAACUAGGCCACAACAACCAUGGGCUAAUAUUUACUAUAGUGACACUGGGCCUCCUACUGGCCGUAGAAACAGUGGGCCUUCUAUGGGCCGUAGAAACAAUGGGCCUUCUACGGGCCGUAGAAACAAUGGGCCUUCUGCGGGCUGUAUUAUCAAUGGGCCUUAUACAGGCCGUAUAAUCGAUUGGCCAAACAUGGGCCAAACAGACCGCAUUAUGGCCGUAAAUGGGCUAGAGUUGGAAUCGUCCGUUCAUGGGCCGACCAUAACGGGCCAUCGUUAAUAGGCCGUAUUUGAUGAUGCUAUGGAAUCGGCCCAACGUAUUAAUGGACCACAAACGGGCCGACUGUAACCACGGGCUGAAUUUGGCCCAUAAGCAGAAAAUGACAGUAACGGGCCGUAAGUAAAGGAAUGCUGGAAAUGAGCCCAAGAAUAAAUGGGCUCUGAGAAGGCUGAAAGAUAACAUGGGCUGGAAACAGCCCAACGGAAUAACGGGUCGUUAAUGGGUAUAAAGUGAUACACUGUUCAUUACGGUCCAGUUUCACCAUGGGCCGUUAAUGGGUGUAAAGUGAUACACUGUUCAUUACGGCCCAGUUUCACCACGGGCCGUUAGUAGGCCAAGAGUUACAUAGGGCCUCAUAUGGGCCGAAAGACGUCAUGGGCCAUACAUGGGCCAAAAGUGAAAACGGGCUGGAAUCAUAUUGGAUGGCCCAGAUGACGCUACUGGGCCUAAUUCGGAUAGGGUGUAACGGGCCUUGGGUUAGCGGGCUGUAAAUGGGCUAUAUUCGAACAGGCCGUUAACAGGCUUUCCAUGGGCCGGCCCGCCAGCUUUUGACCAAGUCAAACCAGCUAGCCUUUUCACAGGAAUGGGCCUCUGUUGGGCCAUGCCAUGUGUCGACGUAUCAUAGGCGCCUUCCGUCCAAUGAGUGGUUGACAUCUGUCCCAACGAUGAGCCGACAUGUGUUUCCUCCAGCCAAUGAUGAUUUUACACGUGGAAAAUCCCCAUUGGUCGGGGCUGUUAAUGGGUUAUCGGAUCCAAAACCCGACCCGAUAGCUUUACAGCGUUCCGUUACUGUGGAUGCCACGUGUCGGUCACCCUUGACGAAAGCACUUCUGUGACGCGCAAUUUAUCGUCAUGGAAGUGGACACUUCCGUGAUGAUAAUUUUGGUAAUGUCAUGGAACACUUCUACGACAGCACAGGUAUGACUAUCUUGAUUCUGUCAUAAAUUUGUCAUGGAUGUACAUGCAUGACAAAAAAAAGCGACCUACUGUGACAAACACGUAUCAUCACGGAAGUGUAUUUUUUUUGUAGUGUGCAGGGUAUUGCCCAAGCCUUGUGGCCAUCCGCCUCCCUGCCAGGAGGCAUGGGGGAGCUUAUAGAGAAGCUCAAGGGAGCGCGGCGGUGCUUAGGAUUAUGGAAGAUAUUAGCCUGCCAACAAGGUGCAAGGGAAGCCUGGGCCAUGGUGAAGACGCGAUAUAUCAAAGCUGACCCAAACCACAUGGCCGAGGUCGGACCUGUGGGGCCUGAUGGGAAUGAGAUCCCCAUCAGUUUGGUGUAUGACCAAGUAGAAUUAGCCGCAAAGUAUUCCCAACAGGAUUGUAGGCUAGACAGCCUGUUGGAUGGUAUAGAAGAAGAAUUUAGUCAGUCUUAGUGACUGUGUACUUUAAGUGACAUGUAUAAUGUCCCUAGCCGGAUUGUAAAUCAUUUGUCAUGGCAGACCUUUUCGCUUCGACCUCUGGACCCGAUAGUCCAGAGUGUAUCCGAAUACCCGCUCGGUUAUGUAAAAACCGGGAUAUGCGUGGAAACCAGGCGUAGGGGUCAUAAGUGCUUGAACAGACAAGUACCCAACUAGCUAUGUUAUAUUACAUGGAUAGUAAGAAACAUCUUCCAGGGAGAGUAGUUCCGUUAAGGGUUCCUUUCCCUGGGUACGCAUGCCCUAAUGUGCAUGUCCGAACUGCGAAAAGAGACGCGGGCUAUAAACAUCUGGGGGCAUGUAUCAAAAUAAAGAAAAGUCAUCUUUUGUUCACCGACCGAAUAUUCCCUUAAGAACACUAGCUUUCGGCUUCAUCCAGUGUGAGGUACACAUCCGACUGACCCGGUAGUAACAAUCGCAGAGGUGCUCCCCUUAUGCCCUAGCCGAAUUAACGGGAACGUAGGGCAUAAAUACAAGAGCCAGACAACCCAGCUUGGCCAAAACUUAAGUCAUAUCGAUGCAUAUAAUGGCGAAAAAAGGUACAUGUGGAAGAAUGACACAUGUGUGGGGCAUAAGGCCCAGAAAAAUAGUUAUAUUAAGCUUUUGUAUAAGAAGCCCCCAGGUAUAAUGAGCGUAGUUAGCGCGUCAAGAUUGUGUAGUCAAGACACAGUUUAGCCUGUUAAGGCCUUGAGGAGAAGAAAAAAGAAGGGAGAAAGAGAGAAAAUAUGGAUAUGCAAAAAAUUGACGGGGGUAAGGAGACGAACAUAGAGUUCGGCAUUAGGCGUAGAAUCUUCGGAGUCUGGCUGCAUUCCAUGGGUUUGGCUCGAGUCGAUUGUCCAAUGCAUCCCGCAGACGGUACGCUCCACCGGUUAGAACCUGGUCAAUAAUGAAGGGACCUUCCCAUUUGGGCUUGAUCUUGUUCUUUUUCUUCUCCGGCAGGCAUAGAACUAGUUCGCCAACGUUAUAGGUUUUGACCCGUACUUCUCUGCUUUGAUACCUUCUAGCCUGUUGCUGAUAGAAUGCAGAACGGGCUUUUGCCAUGUCGCGCUCCUCCUCCAGGGCGUCCCAACUAUCCUGCCGAUCGAGCUCGGCCUCUCUUUCUUUGUACAUGCGCACUCGAGGUGAGUCAUGAAUUAUGUCGCAAGGCAGAACCGCCUCUGCGCUGUACACCAUAAAAAACGGUGUGUAUCUGGUAGUGCGAUUCGGCGUGGUCUGUAGCCCCCAUAGUACGGAGUCGAGCUCCUCUACCCAGUGCAUGUUUGAUUCCUUUAAGGACCGCACUAAUCUGGGUUUGAUGCCGCUCAUGAUAAAAUCAUUUGCUCGCUCGACUUGACCGUUAGUUUGCGGGUGAUAGACAGAAGCAUAAUCGAGCUUGAUGCCCAUGUUGCUGCACCAAAGCUUUACCUCGUCGGCUGUAAAGUUCGUGCCAUUGUCAGUGAUGAUGCUGUGGGGGAUGCCAUAACGGUGUACAACCCCAGAUAUGAAGUCUAUCACCGGUCCGGAUUCAGCCGUUUUAACGGGUUUGGCUUCUAUCCAUUUGGUGAAUUUUUCCACCAUGACCAGUAAGUAUUUUUUCUUAUGGGUUCCCCCUUUAAGGGAUCCUACCAUAUCAAGCCCCCAGGCCGCAAAGGGCUAAGUAACGAGGAUUGUUUGGAGAGCGGUAGGUGGCAUAUGGCUUUGGUUUGCAAAAUGCUAGCAACUGACGCAAUGUUGGACCAGAUACUAUGCAUCUGCGCGGGCCGUCAGUCAAUAGAAACAUGUACGGAAGGCCUUGCUUACAAGGGCCCGGGCUGCGGCAUGGUGGCCGCCGAGUCCAACAUGGAUUUCUGCCAAAAGCUUCCGCCCUUCCUCUUCGGAGAUGCACCUUUGAAGGACUUCGGUAGUGCUUUUCUUAUAAAGCUCUCCCUUAUGGACCUUGUAGGCUUUAGAUCGACGCACUAUGCAGAAUGCCUCAUUUGGGUCCUCGGGUAGUUCCUGCCUGGUUAGGUAGGCCAGGAAUGGUUCUGUCCACGGGGCGAUGACGGCCAUUAUCACGUGGGAUGAAGGUGUUAUUUUGGUGGCAGAGCCUCCGAUUGUGUCAGAGUGUUCGGUAUCUGGUGUUGUGGCCGGGCCCGGACUAUUGUUACCGGUGUCCCCUUCCCAUACCCCGGAUGGCUUAAACAGCUUUUCCAAGAAGAUGUUAGGUGGGACAGGGUCGCGCUUAGCACCGAUACGGGCGAGGAUAUCUGCCGCCUGAUUGUUUUUCACGAGCCACAUGGUGGAAUUCAAGCCCCUCGAACCGAGCUGACAUUUUGAGGACGGCAUUGCAAUAUGCCGCCAUUUUCAGAUCCUUGGCGUCGAAGUCUCCAUUUAUUUGAGAUAUUGCAAGGUUCGAGUCCUCACGCACCUCCAGGCGUUGAAUGCCCAUGGAAACUGCCAUCCGGAGACUGUGUAAUAGGGCCUCAUAUUCGGCAGCGUUGUUGGAGUCUAUGUAUAGUAUUUGGAGUACGUAUUGGACUGUAUCUCCGGUGGGGGACGUCAGGACGACGCCAGCCCCCAGACCAGCCAGCAUUUUAGAGCCAUCAAAGUGCAUGAUCCAAUUGGAGUACGCGCCAUACUCUUUAGGGAGUUCGGCUUCUGUCCACUCGGCGACGAAAUCGGCCAGUACUUGUGAUUUAAUGGCUUGUCGUGGUCUAUAUGUUAUGUCGAACGGGAGGAGCUCGAUGGCCCAUUUGGCAAUCCGGCCCAUGGCAUCACGGUUGUUUAUUAUGUCGUUGAGUGGUACUUCUGAGGCCACCGUAAUUGAACACUCUUGAAAGUAGUGUCGUAAUUUCCGGGAUGCCAUGAAUACCGUGUAUGCUAUCUUUUGGUAAUGUGGUACCGUGAUUUGCAUGCAGUGAGGACAGUGGAUACAUAAUAUAUCGGCUUUUGAAGUGGGAAUUUAUGUCCGUCCGUCUCUCGUUCGACGACGAGCACUGCGCCUACAACUUGGUGUGUUGCCGCUAUAUAUAACAACAUUGGUUCGCCGAGAUUUGGCGCGAACAAGAUUGGGUUAGUGGCCAGGAUGGCUUUGAUUUCUUCCAAUCCGGCCAUGGCUGUGUCCGUCCACUUGAAGUGUUCGGUGCAUCGAAGAAGGCGAUAAAGGGGGAGUGCCUUUUCUCCUAAUUGGGAGAUAAAGCGGCUUAAGGCCGCCACACAUCCAGAUAACUUCUGGAUUUGCUUGAGGUCAGUUGGGAUAGCCAACUGCAACAGAGCUCGGAUUUUAGUCGGAUUUGCUUCAAUUCCUCUACUGGAGACGAUGAAGCCCAGGAGCUUUCCGGUGGGUACGCCGAAAAUGCAUUUUUCCGGAUUGAGCUUAAUGUCGUAUGUUCGGAGAUUGUCGAAUGUGAGCCUCAAGUCGUCUAUUAAGGAGUCGAUGUGUCUGGUUUUAAUGACCACAUCAUCUACGUAUGCCUCCACUGUUUUGCCGAUCUGCUUUCCAGACAUGUUUGAAUCAUGCGCUGAUACGUUGCGCCGGCGUUUUUGAGCCCGAAGGGCAUUGUGUUAAAACAGAAGGGGCCGUAUGGAGUGAUAAAUGCCGUUGCGGCUUGAUCGGACUCCGCCAUCUUAAUUUGGUGGUAACCGGAGUAUGUGUCGAGGAAUCACAAUGAGUCAUGUCCUACGGUGGCGUCGAUAAUUUGAUCGAUGCGAGUGAGGGGGAGGGAUCCUUUGGGCAAACCUUAUUAAGGUAUUUGAAGUCGACGCAUAGGCGCCAGGAUUUGUCCUUCUUUGGUACCAUUACCAGGUUUGCUAGCCAGUCUGGAUGUUUUAUUUCUCUGAUGAAUCCGGCCUCCAGUAACUUGGCUAGCUCCUCUCCCAUGGCUUGUCACUUAGGUUCGGAGAAACGCUGAAGAGUCUGCUUGACCGGCUUGAAUCCCUUUAGAAUGUUAAGGCUAUGCUCGGCCAGCCUGCGUGGGAUUCCUGGCAUAUCUGAAGGAUGCCAGGCGAAUAUGUCCCAAUUCUCACGCAGGAACUCCCGUAGUGCUGCGUCUACAGCGGGGUUUAACUGUGCCCCGAUGGACGCUGUUUUUGUGGGGUCCGUUGGAUGGAGUUGGAAUUUGACUAUUUCAUCCGCUGGUUUGAAAGAGGUGGACUUGGAUCUUUUGUCGAGUAUCACGUCGUCCCUGUCCACUGUGGAGCGCAGCGUAGUUAAUUCCUCCGCCGCAAGGGCUUCGGAUAAUGCCUCGGGGGCCAGUGCGGCUGUUUUGUUCUCGGCAUGGAGUGCUAUGUCCGGAUCACUAGCUAGAGUGAUGAUUCCAUUAGGCCCGGGCAUUUUGAGCUUCAUGUACCAAUAAUGGGGUAUGGCUUGGAAGAUCAGGAAUGCCUCCCGCCCUAGAAGGGCGUGGUAUCCGCUACUGAACGGGGCCACUUGGAAUGUAAUUUCUUUGGACCUGUAAUUCUCCGUAGUGUCGAAUACCACAUCUAGUGUGAUUUUCCCAGCGCAACGUGCCUCCUGACUGGGGAUGAUUCCUCCGAAGGUUGUGCUGCUUUGCUCAAUACGGUUUCUACCUAUUUCCAUUUUUUGAAGAGCCUCCUCAUAAAUGAGGUUUAAUCCACUGCCGCCGUCCAUGAGCACUUUAGUAAGCCGAAAGCCGUCCACAAUUGGACUGGGGACCAAGGCGGCUGGUGCUCGGGUUGUUCAGAAUUUAGGUUCGUCACUAGCAUUGAAGGUGAUAGCCGUGUCGCUCCAUGGAUUUAUUGCUGCCACAUGGCAGACUUCGGCAAGGCUGCGGAGUGCUCGCUUACGCCUAUUAUUUGAGGCAAAGGUCUCUAAGACUGUUAGUACUAUAUUGUUAUCCACGGGAUGGUGCUCUGCGGUGUUUUAAAUGAGGAGAUCCUCACCGCUCUUGGCCACCUGCCGGAGUACCCAACAUGCUCUAAGGCUGUGUGUUGGUAUGGUAACCGUUGUACUAUGAAUUUUGCAGGGCCCGUUAAGCCAUCCCUCCAAUACGGUUCCACGCCCUGCAGUGGGCUUUUGCUUCUUUGUAAUUGAAUCAGGCGACUUAUGAGAGUGCACCCUUUUAGUUCGGACUGGGGGUUUUGUCAGAGCCGGAUUAUCCCAAAAUUUUGUUUGGGUUUUCCAGGCGCUUUCCAUCACACAGUACUUCCGUACUAUGGCCGCCAAGUCAGCGAAGUGUGCAAUGUCACGGCAACUUAUGGCGUUGAGGAUUCCCUUGUCCGUACAAUUGUUGCAGAAGAACGAAAUUGCGUCUUCCUCGCGACAGUCCUUGACCUUGUUCAUUACAAGGAGGAAUCUGGCCCAAUAGUGAUGUACUAUCUCUUGGGGCUCUUGCCUAAUGUGGGAAAGAUCGUUUAUAUCUGGGUUGGUGGGUGGAUUUAAGUCCAGACCUUGACCCAAUCUAAGACCAAGGGGCGGAGGAGUUCUGAUCUUGGAAGUUCGGGCUCCGGGAUGUUGCCCCGCAGGUUUGGCAUGCAGCCUGAUUCUAGGUUCGGGUUUAGGGCGAUGUCCUCCCGUGGACGGGUAUCCGGCUGAGAGAGCUCGGGAAUCCGGACAUAGUUCGUCCUCAGGAUAGAGGAAGAAUCUCCACAUUUCUCUUCCACCACCGCUAUCUCAUGGGUGACCGACAGAGAGUUAAUCUCCCUUUGGUCAGGUUUAAGCCCAAUCCGAUCGCAGUCCGUAGCGACUCCCAGGGUGGCGAUGCGAUCCAAGAGCUCGUUAAAAGAGGUGAGCUCCAUUGGAUCCAUCUGCUCGGUGAAUUUUGAGCCGAUGUGGAGGCUAUUUUCGAUGACCCGAGAAGUCAUCGUCGGCGCAGCGGCCGAGCGGGCGAUCAUGACGAAGCCGCUUAGUCGGAGAGUUUGGCCUACAGCCAGGGCUCCCCCAGAGGUGAUGUUGUUCUUGACAACGAGACGAGCCAUCCCUCCUUAUGAUGAUGACACAGUGGAACUC
This 60348-nucleotide long non-coding RNA is filed under the name Triticum aestivum (bread wheat). RNAcentral's name for it is "long non-coding RNA (TAES_LNC025900)". Lineage: Eukaryota; Viridiplantae; Streptophyta; Magnoliopsida; Poales; Poaceae. The record is from RNAcentral.